RNAcentral lists this long non-coding RNA (60532 nucleotides) under Hordeum vulgare. RNAcentral's name for it is "long non-coding RNA (HVUL_LNC007733)". The record is from RNAcentral. Lineage: Eukaryota; Viridiplantae; Streptophyta; Magnoliopsida; Poales; Poaceae.
GGCAGUUAUAUAGCUAAAACAGUUUAUUCAUAAGCUUUAGAGAUAUUGUACAGUACAUAAUAUUAAAGCAUCGGCAGACAUAAUGUAUAUAAACACGCUCACUCGAGUACCACACGACAAGAGUUUCACAUGGUUCAUCAAGUAGGAAAGGAGCAAUUAGUAAAUAUAACAACAUAGUAUCGGAAUAGAUCCAUUGUCACCGAACGAAUUUAUUCUUAAGACCGGACCACAAAUCAACAAACUUCUCAGAACAUCACCAUUACACCUGAUCUUCAUUCCUCAUCCGUGCGCACAGCUGCAACAUGAACAACCAAGUCAGUGUUCAAGAGAACAAUACAGCAUGAAGUAAAACCAAAGCAAGAAAGAGCCUCAUCUGAAUGCCCACCAGGAAGAAAGACAUUAAAUAUGCAAGUGCACAAAUCAUCACAGAAGCUGGGUAAGCAAAUUAUUCAGAACAGCGUAGAUGUUGGAUUCAACACUUCAUGCAAAUCACGCAAGAGAACAACCAUCACAGUCACUUAAGCAUUCCAAAACCCAACUACAUGUACUUCUGCAGUUCCUGACAGCGCCCCCGAGUUGCAAUUACAAUAUCGAUACUUAUAUGAAGCACAAAAUCAAUAUCGCUACAGAUCCCUACGAACCUAAUUCCGUUUCAAAGAAAAACUACAAACCUAAUUGCACCUAUCCAGCUGUUUUACUCAGUGUUCACAUGCAAUCAUGCAUGCGGCUGAAUAAACUCCCUCUGCUUUGGUACCAGCUCUGAGCAUACAAAUAGGGUAUGACAAAUCUUAAGAGGCAUUUUCAGAACUAUGUGGCAUGAAUGACGCUAAAAGUGAUAAACUACAUGUGCUAAUUAUUACCACACCAGCCCCAUCUAUUAGUAAACACACAUGCCUUUGCCUCGUGAGGUUUCUGUCAUUGGCAUGAGUUCGUGAAUGCUAAUGCGCACACAGCAGACACAUGGUGCCACGAAUUAAGCUCAUGGUAUUUUCCUUGCAUCAGGGGAAAAAAAUCGGUCACAAAAGCUUGCAGGGAUUAAUCAAUAACCAUGACUGCGUAGAAGUUCAGGAGGGAUUCCAACAGUUAAUCUUCAAAUACAGUCACCACUAUUGAGUUUCUCCUGGUUUUAAUGGAAUAAAUAUAUUUUUACCUGGUAACAUUAUGCAUAAAACAGAGACGAUAAGCACCAUCAUGCCCACCCAAUCCAGCCUAUGAAAGGUAACAUUCAGGAUAGUACCCUCACUAUUUAUUACCACUUCAUGCGUUCAUGGUUAUUCGUCUCUAUUUUCCAGGAGACAAGUAACACUAUGUUAGUGCUAAAACUGUUAAACAUAAUCUUACGAUUCUAGCAGCUCCAGGCUAUAGGAAGAAUUAAAAUUCCCAAUACACCGUCGUCCUUAGCAGAUGGCAAAAUAAUCUUGUACAGUAUGUAUGUUACACUGACAGCUAACUUUAAGAACAUCCCCUCCUCACACGCAUUUCUACCAACAGAAGAAAAAAAAAGCGACGCACACCAGAUCCGUGCCAUUUAACAGAUCGUAUUCAAUCCAGCAGAUCAACCUAGACAGGUAAACCGGUAGGGUAGACCUAGAAACAAGAUCCACAUCCAACAACACAAAGCCAGAUCCACGAACCCUAGAUUCAUUCCGUGACCAGGCAAAUCAAACCGGGUCAAGGACGCGAGACAAGGGCUUGAUCGGAUCGGGGAACUUACUGGGCUUCUGCUGCUUCUCGUCGGUCCACUUGGAGAGGGAGAAGUGGACCUUCUCGCGGGAGGAGAGCUCGGUCUUGAAGGGCUCCUUGAGGCAGCUCCGCACCAGCGCCGCGCAGACGUUGGAGUAGCCGAUGUAGGUCAUCCCCGCCGCACGCCAGAAGGGCACCGCCGCCGUCACCGCCGACAUCGUCGUCGCCUCCGCCUCCUCUGCUUCUUUUUUCUUCUCUUCUCUAGGGUAGAAUAGAAUGCUCUUCCUUCCCUCUCUGCUCGAGACGCCGCCGCCGCAGAUAGGGAUGGGGAAAUGGGCUUUGAGGCCCUUUUAUCUUCUCGCUGGGCCUCUUUGCUUCUGCCCAAACGGUCGGGACUCGGGAGCGAAGCCCACCCCGCAGACGGGAAACCUCCCGGUUCGAUUAGUCCCACAUCGCUCGCGGAGCACGGCGGGGCAGGGUCGGACGAGUAUAAAUGGAGGGGCGGGGGCACGGUUGUAAGUCAUACCUUUCUCGGCCUUUUGGCUAAGAUCAAGUGUAGUAUCUGUUCUUAUCAGUUUAAUAUCUGAUAUGUGGGCCAUGCGCCCACAACGAUAUUAAAUUUAUUUUUUAUGGGGGAGGAUCCACCACAGUGGCUUGCUGCUGGGCUCCUCACGCGUUCCCUGGACGUUGCACUGCUGUCCAGGUGUGGCGCACCCCAACCAAAUCUAAAUUAACUAUUUUGAUCGGGUUAAGUUGAGGUGGCUGAAGUAUUAAGGUUUUGAACACUGUUCUACCGGUUGAAUGCCCAUUGCAGCACUCAAGCUAAUGUUGUAUUUAAAAAAUAGGCGAAGCUUUCUUGAAAAAGUAUGGAUUAUUGUUUUGUUUUGUGAACAUAGUACAAGUAAGGAAUAGAUGCAUUAUCGUAUUUAUAUUUCUGAAUAAGUGUCAUUUAUUGCCUCUGACUGUUUCAUGAAAAAAUUGGACGGGACUGAAAUAUUCUGCUGGGCACUGGACAGCUUAGCCAUUUGUGGGUGUGUGAUUUGUCUCACGAUUUUAUAGACCUCUUUCGAAUAUCUUUCUGCCCAUGCAGGCAUUGCCGCAAAUCAUUAUCUUUGAUUUAUAAAAAAUUUAGCAACGGAUAUUCAGGAUUUCAACAAUAAGUAGUUUCUUUUUUCCAUUCGUUACUUAACCCCCUUCACGCACACUAUCGUGUAAGUGCGUUGUAUGCGACGACUCUCUCUACAUGUACGACGAUGAUCGUUCGAGUCAAUAAAUACCAAAUUUUAGUUUAGGCAAUGUACUUUUUUGGAUUCUUUUUAUUCUUAAUUACUUCCUUCGUCCCAAAAUUCUUGUUUUAGGUUUGUUUAGAAACGGAUGUAUCUACCUAAUAAUAAAGCGGCUAUUGCUUCCGUCGGAAAACCCACUACGGAAUUUUUGUAAUAAAGCCCGUGUAAUUUUUGUUAUUCAACCUGCGCUUCAUCAUUUACUGCAACGCAAAAGAAAAAAAUGAUUCGCUGCAAAAAUUAUACCCGUACGCAUCGCCUCCUCCAAUCGACCCUCGGCCACCCUGGCCUGUGCCGAGGCCGCCGCAACACCACUCACCGCUAUGGCCGACCUCAACCACCACCGCUGCCGAUCUCAACCCACCCGCCUCCGCGGGUGUACCUCUCCCCACUCACUGCCCCCGUUGCGGCGCUCGAGCGCAUCGCGUCGACCCUGGUCCACCCUGGCCAGUGCCCAGACCGCUGCCACACCACUCAUCGCCGCGGCCGACCUCAACCACCAGUGAUGUUGAUCUCAACCCACCCACCUCCACGGUCGUACCUCUGCCCGCUUGUUGCCCCCGUUUCGGCGCUCGAGCACAGCUUCUGGAUCAAAUCAACGCGACAACUACAUCGACUUGGGAUGAUGCGUCUGCUCGAUGCAGAACGGCGUCGGCGCGCGGAUAAGGCGCGACGGAGCGAAGUACUUGCAGGUGGAGGCGGGCCUCCAUGGCUCAUACGGGGAACUCCGAGGUUAUGGCGCGGCAACGACGACUCCUUAUGGCCACAUAGAGGCGCCUAACCCCUUGCUCCCCUCAUCGUAUCCCCUCCUCCGUUAGGAACUCAUCAUCUCGUGAGAUGCCCUCCCCAUGCCUCCAACCGUGUGCCAAGCACCGGCAAGAAAUUUUGUUUUGUGGGAAUUUGUUUUGCUGAUGAAUGAAUGUAUUGAAUGUAAGAUUGCAUUGUUGUAGAGAGAGAGAAUGGAACACCACCUUCAGUUUGUCAUCUGAUCCCACAUUCUCUACCCCAUGAGUGAAAUAAGAUAACAGUCCAUUAAUCAAUUCAGGUAGCCUCUUUGUUUUGCUUUGCUUGUCCCGCUCAAUUUCUCAUCAUGAUGGAAUUAACAAUGGACGGGUUGAUUUCUCAACAAAAUAGGAUAGGACUGACUACAUUAGUUAGUUAGCUUAUUAUUUUAAUAAAUCAACAUUAUUAUAAAAAGAUUAAAAGCUUGUGGUAUUUUUUUCUCCCGUUGCAACGCACGGGCCCUUUUGCUAGUUAUUAAAACGUGACUAGAUACAUUCAUAUUUAGACAAAUCUAAGACAAUAAUUUUGGGACGGAGGGAGUACGUACUUUCUAAACUUUAUUUUAUGGCGAAGCACGAACAAGGGCACGUGGCGCCGAGUUUCACGGGUAGAAGGGGAACUUUCGUGGACACCAAGACCUACCAUCGCCUGCCUCAUCUAGGGUUAGGGUUGGCUCCUGCGACAUGGGCGAUCCCCUGCCCUUGUCGUCGUCGCCGCCGGUGCUGCCUAAGGAUGGAAGCCUAUCGGUGUUGAGGGGGGCCUCCCCCCAACGCACGUCUCCGCUGUCUCCGUCGUCAAAGUGUCCUCUUCUACCCCGGACGAGAGGAGUCCGAAGCCUACACGAAGGAAGCCACGCGUUAAACCCUAUUUAUAGGUGCGGCCGGCAGAUCGACCAUAGACGUCCCCGACAACGCAACCCCGAGCCGCCUGACCCCGGCUCCGGAUCGCUUGCCUCGAUGUCGUCUUCAGCGUCGUUUCACGCUGGUGGUGGGGGUGAUCAUGGGGGGCCGGUGAGGUUCCUACCCACCCGAAGCCACCGCGCGAGGGGGGCAUAGUGACGUCGGGAGCUCGGAGGACUCACAAUCUCGGGCAACGUCAGGAAGAAGAGAACAUCAACUGGGAUGCUCGGAGGGCGGGUGGCGGCCUGACGGGGCCCGCUGAAGCACACCUCGGAGGUGAAGUGAUCAUGGACGAUGUGGCCUUUUGUCGUAGUUGAUCAGCGAAUAAAAGUAUACACUCAAGUAUGGAUCAUCAGUACUCUUUUAUGAUUCUUGAGUCCUUAGGGGUCCCGCACUAUUAAGAGGGGAUCACAGGUUUUGCGAUGAACUUGCUCAAAUUACAUCUUCACUUUGUGUUCAGACCACAUCUCCACUGCUCUGCUGUUAUGUGAAAACAGAACCAGUGCCUCGGACAUCCGGCCUCCUCCGGACGUCCGAGGACCGGACGCCCGACAGCUUCGGAAAUCCGGAAUCCUAUACCAGAGAAAUCAGAGCCAUAUAACUCAGACUUCCGGCUACCUCCGGGCGUCCGAGGCCCGGAUGUCCCGCCAAGUCCCGGAAAUCCGGAAGCCUGCACCAGUAGAAGUUGAGCUCUAUAUCUCGGAAAUCCGUCUCCCUCCGGACGUCCGAGCGCCGGACGUCCGACACCCGUCGGAAAUCCGGAACCUACCACCAGUAGAAAUUGUGUUGUAUAACACGGACUUCCGGGCCACUCCGGACGUCCGUAUGUUGAUGAAUUCAAAUAUGUUCACGCACAUCUACAGGCCUCGGACGACCGACCCCUGUCGGACGUCCGGCCGCUGAUGAAUUCAGAAGAGUUCCAGUCAUGCCUACAGGUCUCAGACGUCCGACCUCUGUCGGAUGUCCGGUCCCUCGCGGACGCCCGGACUUCCGACAACUGUCGGACGUCCGGACCCUGUGUGACUUAAAGUGUCCCCAACGGCUCUUUUUCUCUCCCCACUAUAAAUACCCCCCUCCCACUUCGUGAGAGGGUUGCCCAACACAGCCUUAUCCUCAUAAGAACACACUUCCACCUCACACACAUUUGCUCACUCCAAAUCUUAGAUCCCAAGAGCAUUUGUGAGCCCCUUUGAGAGUUGUUCCAAUCGAUAGAUCUUCUCCCUCUCCUUCUCUCAACCCAAACUAUUUGUGAUUUGAUCAAGUUUUGAGCAUUCCCCGUGAUCUUAUUACUCUUGGAGGUUGGAGACUCCUAGGCGGUAGGAGUUCUUCGAAGAGGAAUCAAUUCGUGUGAUUUCCCCCGGAAAAGUUUGUGAGGGUUUGGAAGCCACCUCAAAGGCUUACCACUAGUGGUUGAGAAACGCCUUCGUGGUGUUAUCUCAAAGGGAGAAUAGGGUGAGCCUUCGUGGCGUUGGUGUGCCUUCGUGGUAACAUCCACCUCUCUAACGAUGACUAGCUUCCCUCCAAGGAAGUGAACAUCGGGAUACAUCUUCGUCUCAGUGACCUUGGUUAUCCUUAACCCUAACUCCUUACUUGUGGUUUACUUGUGUUAUUUGAGCAUACAUACAUUGCAUAUUGCUUGUGCUCAUUAUAUUGUGUUGGCUAUUUCUUGUACAAGAUUAAUCAUUCAAGCAUACCCUCUAUAUCCACACGUACAUACUAUCAACCCUUGAUAUAUCGUUUGAUAUAGUGUGAUCUAAUAUCUUGUGUUAUUUACCUACUUGUCGUGUGAUAUAGCUCAAGUAAGUUUGUGUAACUUACUUGUGCUUGUUAGUAACUGCAUUGUGUCCAUCUUGGUAGAUCGUGUUGUUGAUACACGUUGCAGUGCCUAGUGCAUUUAGGAUUUGUGCUUGACAAGUACCCUCUUAGUUUAUUUUCGCAUUAGGUUCAAGCCAAAUCUGAAGAAGUUUUUAAAUAGCCUAUUCACCCCCCCUCUAGGCAUCAUCGAGGUCUUUUCAAUUGGUAUCAGAGCUAGGUCUCUCUUUAAUUAGGUUUCACGACCUUGAGAGUAUCGAUGUCGACUAUUGUAUUAGUGCACAAUGGCAUCUUUGACUUUGAUGGCACAAAUUAUACCCUAUGGAGAAUUUGUAUGCUUCAUCACUUUCGGGCCAUGGGCCCAAAUACUUUACGAAUUAUUCUUGAAGGGAUUGCCGACAAAAAGGAUGAUGCAUCUUCAUCUACUAAUGAAAUGUAUCUUGAUUGCGAGGCUUUUCUUGCCAUUCAUCGAACCAUAAGUCCUGAAGUGUUUAAGUCUAUCUCGACUUGCAAGUCAGCUCAUGAAGUUUGGACUAAACUUGAAGAUAUAUAUGGUGGGUCCAAUCUUGAUGAAGACGGUAUUAUGAUGAAGGAGUUGGUGCAUGAGCUCUUCACUCUUUUCGAUCCUAAAGAGUCCACCACUACUUCCAUAUCCGAUUGCUUGCACACCUCAGCAUCUUCAAUCUCACAAGGUAAUGACAUGGUGAGUGAAGAAAUAUAUGUUGAUGAAAAUGGCUUAGCCUCUAUGGACACGAGCAUAUCUAGCACCACACAUAGUGUAAAUUAUUGUGCUGAUAGGUCAUGCAUUCCACCUAAAGAUUCCUUGACAAAUGUCUGUGGUGAUAUGUCUGCUUCCUCGUGUCCUCUUGAUCAAAAUAUCUUGUUUCUCCCUAGUUGCUCUAUGACUAACCAUUUAGGGGAAUUCAAGAAAUAUGAAGUACUUUUGACUAAUGAAGAAUCUGAUUCACCAAAAGAAUCAUCAUCAAGUCCUCCUGUUCACAUGUACCUCAUGGCAAGAGGUAAUAAUGAGGUAUCAUCUUCCCUGUGCAAUAACGAUGAUAUUUGCGAUGAGGAUGGUGAUGAUGACUUGACUGAAAAUAUCUAUGUGAUCAGUAAAAUUCUUCAUAAAGCUAAAAAUAACUCUCUUCAAAGGUUCCAAGAUGUUCUUGCUUACUUUGAAAAUUGUAAUGAUUCACUUAAUCAUGAACAAGCUAAAAGUGAACAACUUGAACUUGAACUUGAGAAGAGUCAUCAAGCAUGUAGAGACUUAAGAACUUCAAAAGGAGAGAUUGAAGUUGCUCAUGAUAAACUUAAAAAGGAUUUUGAGGUCCUUCUCCUUGAAUGCAAUAAUGUCAAGGGAGAGCUCAUCAAAACCUCUAAGAUCUAUGAGGAGCUUCAAUCUACUCAUGAGAAGUCUCUAUUUGCUACUUACUUCUCUCAUAUUGUUGAUGAUACUUGUACAUCUAACUCUACCUCUUUUGAAGUAUCAACAUUGAAGGAGAAUGUUGAGCUACGUGCUCAACUUGAUUUACUAACUAGCAAUUAUGGGAAGUUGGAAGAAAACCAUGUAAUGCUCACAAGCUCUCAUGCCGAUCUUCUAACAUCCCAUAAUGUGCAAAAGUUAGCUCAUGAGGCUAUCAUCACCAAGGUAACAUCAAGCGAGCCUCAUGUGGACAAUGGCACUACUUCUGGUCAAAGUACUAUAUUUCCAUGUGCUAGUCCUCGUAAUUCGUCUACUCAUAAUGUUGCUACCUCGUGUGAUGAAUUACUUUCCUUGCCUUGUUGCUCUAACAUCGAAGCUUACACUUCCUCUAGUACUUGCAUUGAUACUAACCGUGCAGAGGAAAUCAAAGAGCUCAAGGCCCAAGUCACUUCUUUGAAGAAAGACUUGGAACAGUGUCAUGAAGAGAUGCCCACACUCAACAAUGUCCUGUGUGAGCAAACAUCUCCGAAUGACAAAAAUGAGUUUGGAGUAAACUCAAACAAGAACAAGAGGGGCCUAGAACAAGUCAAUAAUUCGGCCAAAAUCAUUUGCUUCAAGUGCAAAGUUAAAGGGCACCCUGUUAGAUCUUGCCCUCUGAAGACGAAGUCUCAAAGUCACAAGCAACAAGGGAAGCGGCCACAAACUCAAUCACAUAUUCAACUACAAGUUGAAGCAAGGCCUCUUCCCAAUAAGACCCAAACCAACACUCCCCGAGGUGAGAAAUCAACUGCGAAGAAAGAAAAGGGUAGAUGUUGCUACUUAUGUCGUGAGAAGGGUCACGUCGCUUCGUCUUGCACAAGAGGUAACUUAUCCAACCCAAUCACUAUUGAUGAUAUCUAUUCCCUUGGGAAGGAUAAGGUUGGCAAUGUGUUUGCCAAGUUUGUUGGUACUCAAAAUGGUGUCAAGAAAAGAACCAUUUGGUUUGCCAAGCCUAUUGUGAUUAACUUCUUAGGACCCAACGUAGUUGGGGACCAACAAGCUCAAACUUGAUCAAUAGGUGACUAUGGAGGACAUUAGAGACUUGGAUACAUAAUGAAGAAUUAAUGGGUCUUCAUCAUUCAUAUUAUCUCAAGCCAAGUCAUUUGGAUUAUCAAGUUUCUAUCUUAUAUCUAAUGUGCCUCCUUACGGUAACUUAUACUUAAACUGUUUACAUUGUUAGGUGCUUGCCCCCCUUUUGCAUGUUGUGGUUUUGUACCUUGCAUGUGUUUGUAUAUGUUGUGCUUCCAACUUGCUUAUCUUGAGUAAUCAAGUAUGUGUAUGUUGGUUUGCACAUCAUGUACAUGUGAGUCUUGUAUUGAGCCUAUUUGCAUCUUGUCUGUAUUUUUGUUGGCUCUUGUGAGAGAUUAAUGGAUUAUUCCAUUGUGGGGGAGUGAUGUGCUUUGCACACCUCACAAUCCUAUAAAUGUGUAUACAUGGGGAAUACCACUUAGUUUUGAUGCUUCAAGAUUAUCUAGUGUCUAUGUGGUAUGUCUUACUCAUGAGAAAUUCACAUUCUAUAUGGUCCAUUAAGUAUCUCUUGUUGGUUCUAAUUUGCCACUUGUCAAUGUUAUUGGUUUAUCACAUUGUGGGGGAGUAAUAUGCUAUGUGCAUAUUACAAACCUAGAAAAUGUGUACAUUUGACGUAUUGCCACUUAGUGUUGAUAUUGUAAAUUAUCUUGUUCCUAGGUGGCAUGUUAGCUCUACAAGUGACAUUUGCUUGCGUUUUAUGGGUAAAGAUGAUCUUGGAUAUAUUUGUGAUCUACCAAUGAGUAUCAUUUCAAAAAUACUUCUUGUCGUUGACAAUUGGUAUUCCCAUCAUGUGAUUGGAAUUGAUAAUCAUCUUUACAUUGGAUUUUGUGUUUCAUUUGUCUUUCUUGCCUCUUAUGAAUCUAUUUUUAACAUGUCUAGUGUGGUUAUAGAUAUAGAGAAAGUGAUGAUCCCAUCGUGUGAGUGUUGUAUUCAAAUGCAAAUUCUAUAUAAUGCACGUCCCUUGGGGGAGCUAUCCUAUUCUCUUUAAAACACUCUCUUUAUUCACCCAUCAUAAAAUCAUUUGAUCCCCAUCAAGUGUGUGUUGAUGGGAGGCAAGUCUUGCUCUUUAUGAUGCUUUGUGCCAUCAUGAAAAUUUGUAGAGGGCUUUGUUUGUUGGAACCUAGCUCUCUCUUGGAAACUAGAUACUUCGUGUUUGUUUUCCUUCAAUUGGUUUCUUGUUGCCUUCUAAUUGGCACGUGUCAAUGGAUAUCUCAUUCCUUGAUGUAUCUUUUUAAUUGAUAUCUUUCAAGUGAUAGUUCUUUUGUUUUAGGAUCUUAUUAUCACUUGAUACCUUGUCUUUUGGUGACUUAUCAACUUUGUGUUGAUUUGACUCUUAAGAGUCUUGAGCAUGCGUAUCAUAUCUACUUUAUACAACUUCUUUUGCUUGCUUUCCUUCUUUGACCCAAUAUAUAUGGGAAAUUCCACCUUGUCAUAAAUUGGCUAAAGUGUGCAUGAAAUUCAAAUUCAUAUCUAUAUGCACAUAUGUAUGUGGAGUUUGUCCUAUGUAUUGCUGGUUUUCUAACUCUUUGGUCCCAAUGAGUUUGGGCACCAUUUUGUUUGUUUUGUUGUUCCAGGAACAACUGGAGAUGCAUUGGAUGCUCGGCUCACCUAUAAGGAAGAUGUUGAGACCAUGUGAUUGUUGGAGCCAAGUUAGGAUGAUCAAGGAACAACCAUCUACUACAUCAAUCCAAUGUUGUCUCGGUAACAAGUAUCCACUUCAUGCAUUAUUUUCUUGCAAAGGACCCAACCUGUCUUUUCUUUUCCAGGUUGCAUCAUGGCAUGAAUCUCUUUAUUCGUUCAUGUAGUACUUGUUUGCUUUCUCAAAGCAUCCGAACGAUGAUGUCUUACUACUAGUUGGGAUGCCUUUGAUGUUUGUAUGUUGGAAGUUCAUAUUAUACAAUAAGAAAAUAUUUGGCCAUGUGCUAUGCUUCCAAGCAAAAGAUCUCAUUGAUAUAUUUAUGACUUCCUUUUGGAUAUCUAGUUUGUUCCUUCUUGUAACCAUUUCAUGUGUACAUCCUUCUUUGUGGAUAUAUAUCAUCAUGAUUGUCUUCUACUUAGAAUCUUUUACAGAUGAGAGAAGUUACAUCUCUAAUUGAUAUCCUCUUUUCCUUCACGUCCAUCGUUGCAUUUCCUCUUUCAAGUUUUUUUUAUGGCUUCGUGAAAGGAUUUGUUUUGAGUGCGCAUCUUAUUUCUACAUCUUGAUGCACUCUUUGGCAGUGAAGAUUAUUUUUCCUCAUGCUUGUCUUGAUGAGGGUUUUGCCAUUUCAACUAGUAUCCCUUCUAUUGACAAGGUUCUUACUUCCUAUCUUCACAAUGGGUUGUCACAAGCAUUGGUUCUUAUUUUGUUUAUUAGUAAGCUUGUGAACCCAUUUUCUAGUAUGUGUGUGUGGGAAUGAUAUGUCUUGCACUUUGUAUCUCAUAUUCAUCAAGACUAUGUUGAUGAGCAAUGCUCAUCCUUAUCUUAAGUCUUCUCAAGUGCUUUGCCAUGAUUCACACACAUUACUUUGGUUGAGCUUAUUCUUAAGUUGCUUCCUUUACAUGUUGCUCAACCAUUAGUUUUGUGCAAUUGAUAUGCCUAUUGUCUCAUCUAUCGUCUUGCACUCGUCGUGUGUGUCUAUUAAUUCUGGGGGAGCAACGAUCCUAUUUUGUGCACCUGUGUCAAAUACAAAAAUCUCAUAUUAGUGCACAAAUCAUGGGGAGCUUCUCUAGUUUUUGAUAAAGCACUGUGUUGCCUCUAUCAUAAUAUCUUUUAUUCAUGUGGUUCGAAGGACCAUAUGAUUGUUUGUUCCAUCUGGAAUUCUUUGAUUGCUUGCCUCCAUCUUUGUAUGUCUUUGUGGCAUACGAUCCUUUUUUCCUCCAACUACUUAUCAUUGUAUUUGUGUAUUUUUCUGCACUCAUUUGCUGAGAAGUACACACUUUUUUGGAGGACCACCUACUAUUUUGGCUUUCUAAACUUGUCGUCCAUUUUGGCAAUCGAUGCCAAUGGGGGAGAAGUUUAGAGAGUUUACUUUGGAUACGUCUAGAGGGUUUUGCUUUUAUUGCGUAAGCAUUUACAUCUUGCACACACGUACUAUUACCUUGUAUGUGUGCGCUUGGUUAUGCUUAUCUCCUUAUAUAAACUCUCUUGAAGUGGUUGUCUUCAAUUACCAAAAUGGGGGAGAUUGUUAGAGCAUAUAUCUCCAUAUGUGGUUUUGGUAAUUGAUGACAACUCCUAUGGACUAAUGGUUGCUUUAAGUUAUAUUUAUAGGACUUGUCCAUAGGCACUUCGUGAAGUCCAUCUGUUGGGUUCAAGGAGUUUAUAUGUUGACCAAGAUGUUAUUCAAGUUAUUAUCCAAAGAAUGGUCAUAGAAACACUAGGUUGAUCAAGAUCUCAGCCAAAGAGUAAAUCAAUAUGAUCAACACACAAAGCGUAUAAGAUGUACCGAGAGGGAUCAAGUGAUCUCAUAUCUCAGACAAAGAGUAAAUCAAGAUGAUCAACACACAAACCGUAUAAGAUGUACCGAGAGGGAUCAAGUGAUCCCAUGGUAUGGUAAGCAUUGUCCAUUACGUGUUUGUGUACUAACCCAUGGUCUUUAUGAGACUCCUAUGUGGGGGUUAGGUGUGCUUCCACUGGGCUUGCGUCAAAAGGAAGAUCUCAUACAACCCAUGAAGGAUGACGUCAAGUGGUGAUCGUCAUCAAGAUUGUGGUGUGCAAGUUCAAGCGGAUCAGCACGAAUAUAUCAUUGAAACUAUUGUCAAUGAUCAUGUGCUGACAAGGACAACCUCAUGUGCUAACAAGGACAAGAUCAAGAUAAGCAUUCCUGAGCACUACAUGCUUGAUUCUUGUGGAUGUUCACAUGAUGGACAGGACAAGAUCAAGAUAAGAAUUCUUGACAACUUCAUGCUUGAUUCUUGUGGAUGUUCACGUGGUGGACAAAUGAAGAUGAAUACAUAAGCUAGGCUUUCCGCAUUGUGUAUGGGAAAGCUACUUGAAGAGUUCAUCAUGUCUUGCUUUCAACUUGAGCCAAGAAGGAACAACAACAUCAAGCUCAAGUGAAAGGGCUAACUCAAAGGUAUCAGUUCCUUUGACGUUAGUUGUGCGGAGUGAUGAUCAGCGAAUAAAAGUAUACACUCAAGUAUGGAUCAUCAGUACUCUUUUAUGAUUCUUGAGUCCUUAGGGAUCCCACACUAUUAAGAGGGGAUCACAGGUUUUGCGAUGAACUUGCUCAAACUACAUCUUCACUUUGUGUUCAGACCACAUCUCCACUGCUCUGUUGUUAUCUAAAAACAAAACCAGUGCCUCGGACAUCCGGCCUCCUCCGGACGUCCGAGGACCGGACGCCCGACGGCUUCGGAAAUCCGGAAUCCUAUACCAGAGAAAUCAGAGCCAUAUAACUCGGACUUCCGGCUACCUCCGGACGUCCGAGGCCCGGAUGUCCGGCCAAGUCCCGGAAAUCCGGAAGCCUGCACCAGUAGAAGUUGAGUUCUAUAUCUCGGAAAUCCGGCUCCCUCCGGACAUCCGACACCCGUCGGAAAUCCGGAACCUACCACCAGUAGAAAUUGUGCUGUAUAACACGGACUUCCAGGCCACUCCGGACGUCCGUAUGCUGAUGAAUUCAAAUAUGUUCACGCACAUCUACAUGCCUCGGACGACCGACCCCUGUCGGACGUCCGGCCGCUGAUGAAUUCAGAAGAGUUCCAGUCAUGCCUACAGGUCUCAGACGUCCGACCUCUGUCGGACGUCCGGUCCCUCGCGGACGCCCGGACUUCCGACAACUGUCGGACGUCCGGACCCUAUGUGACUUAAAGUGUCCCCAACGGCUCUUUUUCUCUCCCCACUAUAAAUACCCCCUCCCACUUCGUGAGAGGGUUUCCCAACACAGCCUUAUCCUCAUAAGAACACACUUCCACCUCACACACAUUUGCUCACUCCAAAUCUUAGAUCCCAAGAGCAUUUGUGAGCCCCUUUGAGAGUUGUUCCAAUCAAAAGAUAGAUAUUCUCCCUCUCCUUCUCUCAACCCAAGCUAUUUGUGAUUUGAGCAAGUUUUGAGCAUUCCCCGUGAUCUUAUUACUCUUGGAGGUUGGAGACUCCUAGGCGGUAGGAGUUCUUCGGAGAGGAAUCAAUUCGUGUGAUUUCCCCCGGAAAAGUUUGUGAGGGUUUGGAAGCCACCUCAAAGGCUUACCACUAGUGGUUGAGAAACGCCUUCGUGGUGUUAUCUCAAAGGGAGAAUAUGGUGAGCCUUCGUGGCGUUGGUGUGCCUUCGUGGUAACAUCCACCUCUCUAACGGUGACUAGCUUCCCUCCAAGGAAGUGAACAUCGGGAUACAUCUUCGUCUCAGUGACCUUGGUUAUCCUUAACCCUAACUCCUUACUUGUGGUUUACUUGUGUUAUUUGAGCAUACAUACAUUGCAUAUUGCUUGUGCUCAUUAUAUUGUGUUGGCUAUUUCUUGUACAAGAUUAAUCAUUCAAGCAUACCCUCUAUAUCCACACGUACAUACUUGCAACCCUUGAUAUAUCGUGUGAUAUAGUGUGAUCUAGUAUCUUGUGUUAUUUACCUACUUGUCGUGUGAUAUAGCUCAAGUAAGUUUGUGUAACUUACUUGUGCUUGUUAGUAACUGCAUUGUGUCCAUCUUGGUAGAUCGUGUUGUUGAUACACGUUGCAGUGCCUAGUGCAUUUAGGAUUUGUGCUUGACAAGUACCCUCUUAGUUUAUUUCCGCAUUAGGUUCAAGCCAAAUCUGAAGAAGUUUUUAAAUAGCCUAUUCACCCCCCCCUCUAGGCGUCAUCGAGGUCUUUUUAGCAGUGGAUUUCGAGGAGGAGGAGGAAGAAGUAGAGGAAACAGAGAGAUGGAAGCUCCUAGGUUUGUACCGUGCGCAGAAGUGCCCUAGCGCAAAAACUCUGUCCAACCACUUCCAAAAAAUCUGGCAGCUGCGAACAGGUGUGGAGUUUCAACCUAUGGAGAGUAAUCACUUUGUGAUCAAGCUCUUCUCGGAAGGAGAUUUUAACUUUGUGGGCCGCGGAGGUCCAUGGAUAUAUGAUGGUAAUGCCUUGCUGGUAGCUUCGUUCGAUGGCGAUGCUCGCCCCUCUGAAUCAGUCCUUGACUCUGUCUCGGUGUGGGUGCGAGUGUUUGAUGUUCCAUGGAAAAGGCAGACUAGAGCUUAUGGGAGAGCCAUAGGUGGUACCUUAGGCGAAGUAAUGGCGGUGGACGCACCGGAAUCGGGGCAUGCAAUGAAUGAAUUCUUGCGCAUCAGAGUUAAACUACCCUAUAAUCAGAGAUUGCAGAAAGAGGUAAUAUUGGAGUACAAGGUGCAAGGGGCUGUGAAACGCUGCAUAUUCCAGCUCAAAUAUGAGCGGGUCCCACACUUUUGUUUUGAGUGCGGUUUUAUGGGGCAUGAUAAACUUGCUUGUGAGAAGAAGCUUCUGGGGCUCCCUUCGAAGGCAUAUGAUUCCACGCUACGCUGUUCCCCUUACAAAAAAUAUGAACACAUGACAACCUUUACCCCCUCGCCAGGACAGCCACGAGCACGAAGGGGGAUGAGCUUCUCCUUCGGAAGUGCUGGUUCUGCAAAUAACAUCGACCAGCUCAGAUCGAGUGGGAGUAGCAAACCGAAGGAGGAGGAUGGGAUCCCGCAGAGGGUGGAUGCCCAUGAUAAUUUUGAACAAGGGGAAAUACCAUGCUCAGACGCCGUUGAUCAAAAGCUGGCAAAAGAGGUGAACAAUAUAAAGUUGCAUCUAGUAUCGGAGGAACCGAAAUGCAGCAAGAUGCAGAAGCUGAAGGCUUGUUUCACAGCAAAAGCUCCUGUUAAUAGUGGUGUAGAUGGGAGUAAGCAGCGUAAGAAGAAAAGUGCGGUGCCAAAAAAGGGGACAGGGGGAAGAUGCUCGGGCAACCUGGUGAUUCGUGAUGAACCUCUUGGAUUAGAUGAGAUGAUUCCUGCUCUCCGUGGUCUGAGCUUGAUCAGCUCGUUUGGGACGGCAUCUCUAUCCUUGGAUUUGCAUGAUUUUGUCUUGGGCAAGCGUCAGGUGGAUGGAAUGCUAGGAUUCGAACUAGUGGUUGAUGCCACAAAUGCCAUGGUUCCCUAUGUCGCUGCUGAGCCGGGAGGGAUACAAAAGAAAGGGAAAGUGGAUAAGCUAACGGAGGCACACGGAUGUCUGAUGAGCAAAAUACUGGUGGGAGAUAGCGGGGGGUGUGCGGUGGAUAUGGAGGCAACCGGCCAUGGGGCCGCCGGUGAACUGACGGGGCCAUGUGUGGCGCCCCGUCAGGAGCAAUGAAUUGCAUUACAUGGAACUGUCGGGGAGCUGCCAACAAACCGACAGUUCGUGAAUUGACGGGCCUGGUGCAAAAGGCAAAGGCCCGGUUGGUGUUUCUGUGUGAGACCAGACAAAAAACAACAAAGAUGCAGCGUUUAUGUGGUCGACUGGGGCUUAGGGGUUUUGCUGGUUCUGAUAGUGAGGGACUUAGUGGUGGUCUGGCGCUCUUCUGGUGUGAAAAGCUUUGUGUGGAUGUUAAAGAAGUGAAUGAAAGAUUUAUUGAUGUUUAUAUUCGCUCUUCUUUGUCAGAAUCGGAAUGGAGACUUACGUGUGUGUAUGGGGAGCCGAGGGUGGAAAAUAUACACCAUAUGUGGACCUUGAUGCAGAACCUGAAAUUGAACUCGGAUUUGCCCUGGUGUGUCAUGGGUGAUUUUAACGAAGCAAUGUGGUCCUUUGAACACUUGUCCGUGUCCCCUCAUGGAGAUCAACAAAUGCUAGCUUUCCGGGAGGUUUGUGGUCUCCAAGACUUGGGGUUCUCCGGCCUGCCCUUCACAUAUGAUAAUAAGCGUGAAGGACGAAGGAACGUCAAGGUCCGCUUGGACAGGGUGGUUGCGGAUAACGCGUGGCGAGAUAUGUUCUCUGACGCGGCGGUCUCCCACUUGAUUAGUGCAUGUUCUGAUCACCUUCCUGUCCUUUUAUGCUGUGAAAAGGAACCUGACAAGAACUGGAGACCAGCCCAUAAGCAAUAUGAGAUAGCUUGAGAAAGAGAACCGAGUUUGCAAGAGAGAAUUGAUACAGGUUGGGCAGAGGCAGGCAGGAUGGCUCAUCUGGGGGAUGUUCGACAAGGUUUGUGCCAGCUUAUGAAUAAACUUCAAGUCUGGAGUAAGGAGAAAUUUUGCCAUGUAACCCAGGAGCUGGAAAAAAGUAGAUCAAGGCUGGAGGAGCUCCUUAAUAUGAAUGCUGGUAGAAAUGAGAUACGGAAAGUCACGGAUCAUAUGAAUGAGCUACUAUAUCGUGAGGAGCUCCUUUGGAUGCAGCGGUCCAUAGUGGAUUGGCUGCGGGAUGGUGACCAGAACACCAAGUUUUUCCACCGGAAAGCAGUCUGGCGUGCCUGCAAAAACCGUGUCAAAACCCUUAUGGACGAUCAAGGGGUCGAGCACAGCGAUCCGAAGGUUAUGGGCAGUAUGGUUAAUGCUUAUUUUCAGGAGCUAUUCACGGCGGAGGAACACCUCAUAACGGCACCUGUCAUAGACCUUCUCGAACCAAAAGUCUCGCAAGAUAUGAAUAAUAGUCUAUGCAAGGAGUUUACGAAGAAAGAAAUCUCGGAUAGCCUAUUCCAAAUUGGACCCCUUAAAGCUCCGGGAGUGGAUGGUUUUCCAGCAAGAUUCUUUCAGAAGAAUUGGGCUGUUAUGAAGGAGGACAUCAUUGUAGCGGUGAAACGUUUCUUCAGCACCGGGGUGAUGCCACAGGGUGUGAACGAGACGGCCAUUGUGCUUAUCCCCAAGGUAGACGACCCCAAUCGCCUUAAGGACUUCCGGCCCAUCAGCUUAUGUAACGUCGUGUACAAGAUCGUCGCAAAGUGCCUGGUUAAUCGGCUUCGCCCAGUCCUUGAUGAGAUUAUUUCACCAGCACAGUGCACAUUUGUCCCAGGCAGAAUGAUUACUGAUAAUGCAUUACUGGCUUUUGAGUGCCUACAUUUCAUGCACCAGGACAAAAACACGGAGGACAGUUUCUGUGCUUAUAAGCUGGAUCUCUCCAAGGCCUGUGACAGGGUUGAUUGGAGCUUUCUGCGACAAGUUAUGAAAAAGUUGGGUUUCUCUAAUCAAUGGAUACAAUGGAUCAUGGCUUGUAUUACGUCGGUGAAAUACUCUGUCAAAUUCAACGGCUCCAUGUUGAACUCGUUCACACCCUCGCGGGGGCUUCGACAAGGUGAUCCCCUGUCCCCCUUUCUAUUCCUGUUUGUCGCUGAUGGACUCUCCGCUCUACUUAGACAUGGAGUAGAAUCAAACAACCUUCAUCCAGUCAAAGUUUGCCGAAGGGCCCCAGGAGUCUCUCACCUCUUAUUUGCCGACGACACCCUCCUCUUCUUCAAGGCAAACCAAGCACAAGCCACGUUUGUAAAAGGUGUCAUCCAGAGCUAUGAGCAAGCUACGGGUCAGCUGAUUAAUACCCAGAAAUGCUCCAUUCAAUUUGGAGAGGCCUGCCCAGUAGUAAAACAAGAACAAGUGCGACAGAUCCUUGAUGUUCAAAUGGAAGAAUUUGAAGGAAAAUACCUGGGCCUUCCAACACCUGAUGGUAGGAUGCACCGGGGGAAGUUCCAAAAAUUGCAAGAAAGCCUCACACGACGUAUUCUGGAGUGGGGGGAUACUCUCUCUCAAGCAGGGAAGGAAACGAUGAUCAAGUCUGUUGCCCAGGGUAUUCCCACAUACAUUAUGGGGGUGUUCAAACUGCCUGCCUCUGUCUGCGAGGAUCUGUCUCGAUUAGUACGAAACUUUUGGUGGGGUGCUAAGGAGGGAAAGAGGAAAACACAUUGGAAGUCUUGGGAUAAAGUCUGCGAAUCAAAAAACAGAGGCAGACUAGGAUUCCGAGACUUCUGUUUGUUCAAUCAAGCUCUUCUUGCGCGACAGGCUUGGAGUCUACUAACCAGACCGGAGUCCCUGUGUGCACAGGUUAUCAAGGCAAAGUAUUACCCAAAUGGCGCCCUGGUGGACACGGUUUUCACUGGAAAUGCAUCACCAACAUGGCAAGCCAUCACCUAUGGGCUGGAUCUGCUCAAACGAGGUAUUAUCUGGCGAGUUGGAACCGGUGAGCAGAUCAGGAUUUGGAGGGAUCCAUGGAUUCCUAGACCACAUUCUUAUCGUCCUAUCUCAAUCAGAGGGAACUGCCGCCUUCGGAGGGUGUCUGAGCUCCUGGAUGAUCACGGACGCUAGCAUCUGGAAUCCCUGAACCGAUAUUUCUUACCAAUGGAUGUCCAGGACAUAAGUGAGAUCAGGACCUUCACAAAUCGGCUUGUCCAAGACGUCUUGGCGUGGGCGCCAGAUCCAAAAGGUGUCUUCUCAGUACGCUCGGCUUACCACCUCGCACAUGAGGAGAAACUUCGGGCAUCUAGGGAGGCGUCAAGUAGAGCACCAGAUGGUACUCGAGCUAUUUGGAAGGUGCUCUGGGGAUGCAUGGCCCCUCCAAAGGUGCGGGUGUUUGCCUGGAGGGUUGCAACAAACUCCCUUGCUACGGUUGCAAACCUGCUACGGCACAACAUGGGAGUGACAGAUACCUGUGUCAUUUGCGGUAAGGAGCGAGAAGACACCUUCCAUGCUCUAUGUACAUGCCCCUUGGAGCAAUGUUUAUGGAGAGACAUGGCGAAAUCCUAGAACAUGCCGAAGUUGGAAGAUAUACAGAACACAGGGACUGAGUGGCUGCUGCAUCUGCUGGACCAGUGUAAGCCUGAUCAACGCUACCUGUUCUAAUGACACUUUGGCGGAGUUGGCACGUCCACAAUGAACUUACUCAUGGCAAACAGGCACCGCCGACUGAAGCCUCCACGCGUUUCCUGUCCAGCUAUAUCCAAACGCUCCAGUGCAUAAAACAGUUUCCGAGGGGUGAUCUUGUCAAAGGAAAAAUGGUGCCCUCCCACCAGGGGAAGCUAAUAGCAAAUCAGAAGGAGGAGGUGCAACCAAAGGACCGGGUGCAACGGUGGACUAAGCCACCCCCUGGAUGGACCAAAUUAAACAUCGAUGGGGCCUUUUCUGAAGGUAACAAAAUUGGGGGUGCAGGAAUGAUCCUUCGGGACGAGGAAGGACAAGUCAUAUUCUCGUCUUGCCGCUAUCUCCGUACUUGCUCCCCGGCUCUCAAAGCGGAACUGGCGGCUUGUCUGGAGGGGAUCUUCAUAGCGCGCCCUGGAGUGAGCUGCCCAUGAUUGUUGAAUUGGAUUGCUCGUGCGCGGUCCAGAUGAUCGUCGAGGAAGGAAUUGAUAGAUCACCGCAUGCAAUCUUGGUGAUGCAGCUCAAACAAGCCCUUGGGGAGAUAGGAGAACAUGUGACAUCGCAUGUGGUUAGGAGUAGGAAUGCUCUAGCGGAUGCUCUUGCUCGGCUUGGACGUAUAAAUCAUCGUACGGCUGUAUGGCUACGUGGUAUACCUGAGGAGGUUGACACCUUAUGUAAGGAGGACUCGGUUGGUUAAUCAAUAUAUUUUUCAUUCGCAAAAAAAGGGCAUGUGGCGCCGUUGUUGCCACGAAGUAGACGGCUUCAACUGUGUACAAAGCAUCCAUCGUGGCUCGUCGUACUAAGAUUGCAACUGUGUUGUCAAGAUGAUUUGGGUUCGUCCAAUUCGGUUGUCGCAACGGAGAGUAUAAUUAGGCAACAUUCUUAUCGUUGUAUGACAUGGAGGACGUUGUGCACGCGUGCCUAAAUGAGCUUGCGACGGAUGCAUCUUCCUUUUCUUCCACAACGCUCGCGACGCAAAAAACACUCUAUCGAGCACCACGAUUUUAUCUCCACCCCUCCACUAAGGCAAUACAAUAGCCAUGGAGGUGGAUGAAUAUGCAUUCCUCUGCACCGACGACGGUGAGUUGUUCCACCUCAUAUGCGCGGGACAUGGCACACCGACACUGCGUUGUCCAUGUCUGGAGGAGGCAAGACGACCUCAUCGACGUAGCCAAGGGAACCUGCUCCAAUGACAAUCACCCACCAUAGUUGAGUCAAAGCACUACGAAUGUAAGACUCCAUAGCUAGUUUCCAUUUAGCAAAUGUGUUAGCUCUCAAAGGGGCCAAGCCCCAAAAUGAUUAAUGUGUGGGUGCGGAAUCGGUUGAGAUUCAACAACAUUGUACUUAGGAACGAGUGUGCAAGCGGGGGAUGCAAGGGGUUCUCUCGAGCCAUCCACGUCUUGAAGUACAUUUAGAUCAAAUGGACUAGUUGCGGACGAUGAAGCCUUUAUGUGUGCGUCCACUUUGUCCUUGACCGAGAAGUGAACUGCUUUCAACAUUACUGAUUUAAAAUCCACGAACAUUGAAAGGUUGGCUGCCGCAGUAAAGGUAGGAGCGAGACCAAUGUGGGAUGUGUCGGCGACAGGGGGGUUGUUGGACCCCUUCCACAAGGAGUGGCUCGCCACCCACAUCCUCAUGACCUUCCAUACCCUCUUUAGACGGUUAAGCCCAAUAAGAGAGUUGAGGCUCUUACAACAACUUAAAGAAUUGAUACGGUCGACUAGAGGGGGUGAACAGGAGACUACAAAUUUAAGCUUAGCUACAAAUUUUAGGGAUUCAUGAAUAAAUAGGUUCUCGAGAUACGCGUCCAGAUGAGCACAACUUAUAUGGCAAGCAAUAUAAGUUUCAAAUCACCCGCGGUUGGUCUUGAAGGCGACUAGCACGCCUUUACAUACGUCUAUGGAGCACACCACAAGGAAGGAACCUUUCGGAGGAACCUCAGCUGCGCAGGAGCCCAAGCUCCAAGAGUAACAAGUUGUUGGUGAGAAAAAUCUUGCAAGGAACACGAAUCAAUUUGGUCAAAGUUUAGAUUGGGCCUUGCUCACUCAAGACGAAGUCAUGUUUAAAACUCCACAGAAUUGAUAUGUGGACUAAAUGGAUAAAACGAGAGCCACAUACCAAAUUACACAAUUACUAUGCAUGCAAUUCUUUUAUAGGAGAAUUAAACCCAAUUCAAAUAUUUGAUGAUUUUAUUUAAAGCCCAAAAAUAAAUGCUUUAAGCCUAUAAAAUUAUUGGUUUGAAUUUUUGCUCUUGCCAAUAUUUUCAAGGUUUAACAAGAACAUUUUCUUGGGCUCAUUUGAAGAGAUUCUUAAUUUGAUAAUUUCAAAAAAUGAUUUCCAAGGCUUUGAGGAUUCCCUUAAUUCAAUUUUCAUUGAAAUAAAUAUGAUGCAUGAUUCUCUCUAGUAUAAUUAUUUUCAGGCAAGUAUUCUAGGGUUGUGACACUUGAACAGUUUUUCCACAACAUCUUUGUGAGUGAUAUCAUCGACACCUGUUGGCGUAAGCGCUCAACAAGACUGCUUUGGCGGUCGGUGAGUUCCACCACACUUUCUCUUCGAAGACUUCUCAAAUGAAUGUACUUUGCGAGAAGAUGUUUGCGAGAACAACAGAUUUGGCAGCGGAUUCAUCGUGAACAUUUUUUAUGGCAUCCCAGAUUUGUUUGGCUGUUUCAAGCCUCCGGAAUCGAAUAAAAAUAUUUUUGGAGAUGUUGUCGUAGAUGAUAUCCUUCGCUUGAGCAUCUAAGUGAAUGUUGGCUUCAUUUUCAUGAGUGGGUGUUUGUGGAUUUGGAAUAGUAUAUUUGUAUUCCACAAUCUUCCGUAACUUUAAUCUCAAGGCUUGAAGCUUGACUUUCAUUGUACUUUGCUAGUAUUGAUAAUCAUUUCCAUUGAAGGUAGGAAUUUCUUCACACUGUGUGGAUCUACGUGGAAGCGACAUACUCAAAACUCCAAGGCGACUUGACCUUUAAUAAACAGAGACAAGGAGACCUUGAUCUGAUACCAUUUGUUAGGACUAAGAGUAUACCAACCAGAGGGGGUGAAUGGGAGAUUCAAAUUUUCUUUUGAAACUUCGAAUCAAAACCACAUCAAACAACGGAAUAGAUAGAAUAGUGAAGGUAAAUGAUCAAAGCACAUACAAACAAUAAACUACAUGGGUAAAUCAAAGCUUUCGAUGAAGGAUGUGAUAAUCUUCUUUGCAUAAUAGUUCGAGGCUUACGCAAUGACAAUGGUGGCACAUAACGACAUCAAAACAGACAACUGGCUAGGAAGUCAUUGAAUGGAAGCAGAGCAGCCAGCUAUAUGAGACACAUAAUAUCGAGUAAAUGAUAGCACCUAAACUAAAGCGAGCACGAAUAGAAUUAUUAUAGAUACAUGAUCAUGGAUACCAUACAAAGUAUACAACACAGAAAUAAACUAGUGAACAAAUUGCAAUAGAAGAAGACUUGAAUCGGUGGUGCUCGAUGGCGGUAGAUGAUUUGGUAGACUAGUUCACUCUUUUGCAGAACAUCGACGUCUGAUUGGAGGUACUUGUGAUUGAACACGGGACUAGACCUCUCUCCAUUCUAUUUUCCUUCAAUUUAAAGUAGAUUAGACUUUGAUUGAAUUCACUCGGGGUAGAUACUUGUUAGUGAUGUCCAAACCUUUGACACAGUUCUUUGCAAAAUCACAAUUACUCUUGGUUGCUGAAGACUUUGCUUGGUGAAUACAAUUACUCUUCGACACUCAAGUCGACUCCAUCUAGAGAGUGUGGAGCUCUCAAGAGUAAUAGGUACAAGAAUUCUAACUCAGAUGCGUUAUGAUGCUCAACCACUAUCUAAGUUUUGGCUCUAGAUUUUCUAUCAAUUGAUUUUAAACUCAAUUCUCUCGAGAGGGUGAUCAAUAAACCUUCCCAAAAUCACAAGGAGUAACCAACAGACAACGUUGGUGCAGGGUGGCUAUUUACGGCGGCAUCCUUCCCAUGAGGGAAAUAACCAAACUGAACACGAAACCCCCAAUGGCCAACCAACACAUUUCCAAUGGUCAAAUUUUGAGAAUAACGGUAACUUUCCUUGCGGAGCAGGUAAAGCUAACUCCUCGGCCCGAUAGAUAUCUCUUGUGGCGAAGAAGAACUAUAUAUCUUGUUGAAAAGUAAUCAUUCGGAGCACAAAGAGAUUUCUCUCAGUCUUCCAUAGGUUUCGGCUAACCAUCAGAACUGACCUAAGCUUCGAGAACAUAUAACCCUCUUAAUAGUGUUAAUAGUACAAUGGUCAUGUUGGAUGUAAGCCCUAGAUGCAAUAAUAUUGUAUUAUUAUAUUUUUGUAUUCAUAACUGAGAGUUUAUAUUCUAUGUUAUAACUACUAUGAUAAUGGAAUAUGUGAUUCAGUGGAAAACUCAUAUGCGUGUGUGGAAUGAUAAACGGGAAAAUAAGAUCCCUAGUAUCACCUCUAAGACUGGCUCAAGUGUUGUUAGUGAUCAUGUUUUUCGGAUCUUAGGAUAACGUUAGGUGUAACAUUAGAAGAUCGACCAUAUUGAAUCGAGCGAUGACCUGUUUGUUAUACUUUGAGAUAAUGUCAUUUGAAAUCAAUUCUUAUAACACGGGAGUGUUAACACGUGUUUUAGUUCCUUAGACCAUGAAGUAUCGUAUUCACAUCUUAUUGUAUGGCGAACUUCGGGGUUGCUUAAACGUCAUUUGUAACUAGGUGAUCAUAACGACAACUCAUACGUCUCCAAUGUAUCUAUUUCUCCAAACACUUUUGCUCUUAUUUUUGGCCUCUAAUUUGCAUGAUUUGAAUUGAACUAACCUGGACUAACGCUAUUUUGAGGGAACUACCUUGGUGUUAUUUUUGUGCUGAAAUAAAAGUUCUCGAAAUCAGACGAAACUUUUUGUGAAUUAUUUUUUGGGAUUUAUAAGGAUUUACGAAGCAAAGACCUUCGGAGGUGAAGUGCGAGGGGGCCACAAGCCAUUAGGGCGCCCCCAUGCCGCGAGCUGAUGGCUUGUGGGGACCUCGAGGCUCCUCUGACACAAAUUCCAGUCCUAUAAAUUCAUAUUCUCCGAGAAAAAAAUAGGACGUUAAGACGACUUUCCUGAACGUUAAGACACAAGUGGUUAUUUUAGCCCUAGUAGUACUAGUUAUAUGCGUAGAUGAUAUAACUCGUUUAUCCCGCUCCUGUUUAUUUUAGCCCUAGUAGUACUAGCAAUAUGCGUAGAUGGUUUUGCUAUAUGCGUAAUAUUUGCUAGUCUUCUUCGUGAUCAGUAUGUCAUGAAUCUAGUCAAUGCCAUGUUAGUAAUUAUUUCAUGGAUUAAUCUACUCGGCAAAUUGCCUAUUUACUCAACAAUCCAAAAACCUAAUAUGUGUAGGAAUUUUCCGAGUAAUGGUUUUGCCGCUGCACUGAAACAUGAUAAGUUUACCGGUACUUAUUUCCCCACACGGUACUCAUUGGUUACCCCAAGUGGAAGGUUAAGAUGUAGUCAGUAGCAAGUUUUCCCUCACACGGCAACUGUAAGGUUUAUCGAACCAGGAGGACUCCUAGGCUCAACAAGUAGGUGUCUUCCACCCUAGUGCUAGCAGAAGACGUGGACCUGCACACACAACAAAUAACUUUGCUCUCAACGAGUACAGAGAGGUUGUCAAUCUCUCCGGUCUUGUAGUUUGCAAAGGAUCAAAACACAAGCGGGAAAGUAAUAGUGAUUGCAACAGAAAAGUAAAUGAAAGCAGUAAAUGAUGGAGGUGUAAACAAUGAUGGUGAUAUGGACCAGGGUCACAUGAUGUUCACCAGUGAUGUCUCUCUCCCAAAAGACGAUAAACAACUAUGCUUGGGUACACAAAUCACAGUUGGGCAAUUGACAAAAUUAUGAACGCACCUCAAUGCUAAUUAUGGUACUUGAUAGUUAGAGGUUCAAUAGUAAUGGACAGUACGCCAAGACAAGUAGACCAUUUAUUCAUCAGCAUCAACUUACUAAUCAUCCACCUUGAGAUAUCUAUCUAGAACAUCUUGUCGGUAUUAAGUUGCGAGCCCCACCCAAAGUGUAAACUCAAAGCAACGAACAACUGCAUUAACGAACUACGCGUAAGGUAAACAAUCCUUGCAACCGUGGUCACAAGCACCGUUGUUUUCUCCCUGGUGGCAACAACACAUCCCCUAGUCUCAUGUUUCUGUCACUCAAGCUAGACAUCGAGGGGCAUGAACCCACAAUCAUGCAUAACGCUCCCUCUUGGAGUUACAAUCUACUACUCAAGCAAAGCAAUAAAUAGCAACAGAGAACAUGCAUGGAUCACUAAGGAACAUAAUAUAAAAGGAUAAUCGAAUAUAUAACUCAUAACAAUAUGAACAUAAUCUCAUAAUCCAUCGGAUCCCAACAAAUCGAGCAUAGCAAUAGCAAGAGAAUUACAUAGAUGCCUUGAUCAUGUAGGACAGCUCACAAAGACUAACCAUUGAAGCAAAAGAUUGGAGAGAAGACAUCACAUAGCUACUGGUCAUGGACCCAUGGUCUAAGGAGGACUACUCAGGGCACGUCCGGGAAGCGUCCAUGGCGGUGGAGAAGCUUCCGGAGGUCAAUCCUCCCUCCGGCAGGGUACCAGGAAGAGGUCUCCCGACGCUCCCGAUCUCAAAAGCGUUGCGGCGGCAGAAUGAUGGAGAAAUUCGCAAUUCUGGAAGUUAUGGAAGGAUUUACUCUCAAGAGUCUAAAUAUAGGCCAAAGGAGGGCACCGAAGGAGGUGGGGCCCACCCAAGCGGCUUCUUGGCGCGACCAGGGGGUAGNNNNNNNNNNNNNNNNNNNNNNNNNNNNNNNNNNNNNNNNNNNNNNNNNNNNNNNNNNNNNNNNNNNNNNNNNNNNNNNNNNNNNNNNNNNNNNNNNNNNAUACAUCUUCGUCUCAGUGACCUUGGUUAUCCUUAACCCUAACUCCUUACUUGUGGUUUACUUGUGUUAUUUGAGCAUACAUACAUUGCAUAUUGCUUGUGCUCAUUAUAUUGUGUUGGCUAUUUCUUGUACAAGAUUAAUCAUUCAAGCAUACCCUCUAUAUCCACACGUUCAUACUUGCAGCCCUUGAUAUAUCGUGUGAUAUAGUGUGAUCUAGUAUCUUGUGUUGUUCACCUACUUGUCGUGUGAUAUAGCUCAAGUAAGUUUGUGUAACUUACUUGUGCUUGUUAGUAACUGUAUUGUGUCCAUCUUGGUAGAUCGUGUUGUUGAUACACGUUGCAGUGCCUAGUGCAUUUAGGAUUUGUGCUUGACAAGUACACUCUUAGUUUAUUUCCGCAUUAGUUUCAAGCCAAAUCCGAAUAAGUUUUUAAAUAGCCUAUUCACCCCCCUCUAGGCGUCAUCGAGGUCUUUUCAAUUGGUAUCAUAGCUAGGUCUCUCUUUAAUUAGGUUUAUCGACCUAGAGAGUAUCGAUGUCGACUAUUGGAUUAGUGCACAAUGGCAUCUUUGACUUUGAUGGCACAAAUUAUACCCUAUGGAGAAUUCGUAUGCUUCAUCACUUUCGGGCCAUGGGCCCAAAUACUUUACGAAUUGUUCUUGUAGGGAUUGCCGACAAAAAGGAUGAUGCAUCUUCAUCUACUAAUGAAAUGUAUCUUGAUUGUGAGGCCUUUCUUGCCAUUCAUCGAACCAUACGUCGUGAAGUGUUCAAGUCUAUCUCGACUUGCAAGUCAGCUCAUGAAGUUUGGACUAAACUUGAAGAUAUAUAUGGUGGGUCCAAUCUCUAUGAAGACGGUAUUAUGAUGAAGGAGUUGGUGCAUGAGCUCUUCACUCUUUUCGAUCUUAAAGAGUCCACCACUACUCCCAUAUCCGAUUGCUUGCACACCUCAGCAUCUUCAAUCUCACAAGGUAAUGACAUGGUGAGUGAAGAAAUAUAUGUUGAUGAAAAUGGCAUAGCCUCUAUGGACACGAGCAUAUCUAGCACCACACAUAGUGUAAAUUAUUGUGCUGAUAGGUCAUGCAUUCCACCUAAAGAUUCCUUGACAAAUGUCUGUGGUGAUAUGCCUGCUUCCUCGUAUCCUCUUGAUCAAAAUAUCUUGUUUCUCCCUAGUUGCUCUAUGACUAACCAUUUAGGGGAAAUCAAGAAAUAUGAAGUACUUUUGGCUAAUGAAGAAUCUGAUUCACCAAAAGAAUCAUCAUCAACUCCUCCAGUUCACAUGUGCCUCAUGGCAAGAGGUAAUGAUGAGGUAUCAUCUUCCCUGUGCAAUAACGAUGAUAUUUGCGAUGAGGAUGAUGAUGAUGACUUGACUGAAAAUAUCUAUGUGAUCAAUAAAAUUCUUCAUAAAGCUAAAAAUAACUCUCUUCAAAGGUUCCAAGAUGUUCUUGCUUACUUUGAAAACUGUAAUGAUUCACUUAAUCAUGAACAAGCUAAAAGUGAACAACUUGAACAUGAACUUGAGAAGAGUCAUCAAGCAUGUAGAGACUUAAGAUCUUCAAAAGGAGAGAUUGAAGUUGCUCAUGAUAAACUUAAAAGGGAUUUUGAGGUCCUUCUCCUUGAAUGCAAUAAUGUCAAGGGAGAGCUCAUCAAAACCUCUAAGAUCUAUGAGGAGCUUCAAUCUACUCAUGAGAAGUCUCUAUUUGCUACUUACUCCUCUCAUAUUGUUGAUGAUACUUGUACAUCUAACUCUACCUCUUUUGAAGUAUCAACAUUGAAGGAGAAUGUUGAGCUACGUGCUCAACUUGAUUUACUAACUAGCAAUUAUGGGAAGUUGGAAGAAAACCAUGUAAUGCUCACAAGCUCUCAUGUCGAUCUUCUAACAUCCUAUAAUGUGCAAAAGUUAGCUCAUGAGGCUAUCAUCACCAAGGUAACAUCAAGCGAGCCUCAUGUGGGCAAUGACACUACUUCUGGUCAAAGUACUAUAUUUCCAUGUGCUAGUCCUCGUAAUUCGUCUACUCAUAAUGUUGCUACCUCAUGUGAUGAAUUACUUUCCUUGCCUUGUUGCUCUAACAUUGAAGCCCACACUUCCUCUAGUACUUUCAUUGAUACUAACCGUGCAGAGGAAAUCAAAGAGCUCAAGGCCCAAGUCACUUCUUUGAAUAAAGACUUGGAACAGUGUCAUGAAGGGAUGCCCACACUCAACAACGUCCUGUGUGAGCAAACAUCUCCGAAUGACAAAAAUGAGUUUGGAGUAAACUCAAACAAGAACAAGAGGGGCCUAGAACAAGUCAAGAAUUCGGCCAAAAUCAUUUGCUUCAAGUGCAAAGUUAAAGGGCACCAUGUUAGAUCUUGCCCUCUGAAGACGAAGUCUCAAAGUCACAAGCAACAAGGGAAGCGGCCACAGACUCAAUCACAUAUUCAACUACAAGUUGAAGGAAGGCCUCUUCCAAUAAGACCCAAACCAACACUCCCCAAGGUGAGAAAUCAACUGGGAAGAAAGCAAAGGGUAGAUGUUGCUACUUAUGUCGUGAGAAAGGUCACGUUGCUUCGUCUUGCACAAGAGGUAACUUAUCCAACCCAAUCACUAUUGAUGAUAUCUAUUCCCUUGGGAAGGAUAAGGUUGGCAAUGUGUUUGCCAAGUUUGUUGGUACUCAAAAUGGUGUCAAGAAAAGAACCAUUUGGGUUGCCAAGCCUAUUGUGAUUAACCUCUUAGGACCCAACGUAGUUGGGGACCAACAAGCUCAAACUUGAUCAAUAGGUGACUAUGGAGGACAUUAGAGACUUGGAUACAUAAUGAAGAAUUAAGGGGUCUUCAUCAUUCAUAUUAUCUCAAGCCAAGUCAUUCAGAUUAUCGAGUUUCUAUCUUAUAUCCAAUGUGCCUCCUUACGGUAACUUAUACUUAAACUGUUUACAUUGUUAGGUGCUUGCCCCCUUUUGCAUGUUGUGGUUUUGUACCUUGCAUGCGUUUGUAUAUGUUGUGCUUUCAACUUGCUUAUCUUGAGUAAUCAAGUAUGUGUUGCUUUGCACAUCAUGUACAUGUGAGUCUUGUAUUGAGCCUAUUUGCAUCUUGUCUGUAUUUUUGUUGGCUCUUGUGAGAGAUUAAUGGAUUAUCCCAUUGUGGGGGAGUGAUGUGCUUUGCACACCUCUCAAUCCUAUAAAUGUGUAUACAUGGGGAAUACCACUUAGUUUUGAUAUUUCAAGAUUAUCUAGUUUCUAUGUGGUAUGUCUUACUCAUGAGAAAUUCAAAUUCCAUAUGGUCCAUUAAUUAUCUCUUGUUGGUUUCAAUUUGCCACUUGUUAAUAUUGUUGGUUAUCACAUUAUGGGGGAGUAAUAUGCUAUGUGCAUAUUACAAACCUAGAAAAUGUGUACAUUUGAGGUGUUGCCACUUAGUGUUGAUAUUGUAAAUUAUCCUGUUCCUAGGUGGCAUAUUAGCUCUACAAGUGUCAUUUGCUUGCGUUUUAUGGGUAAAGAUGAUCUUGGAUAUAUUUGUGAUCUACUAAUGAGUAUCAUUUCAAAAAUACUUCUUGUCCUUGACAAUUGGUAUUCCCAUCAUGUGAUUGGAAUUGAUAAUCAUCUUUACACUGUAUUUUGUGUUUCGUUUGUCUUUCUUGCCUCUUAUGAAUCUAUUUUUUAACAUGUCUAGUGUGGUUAUAGAUAUAGAGAAAGUGAUGAUCCCAUCGUGUGCGUUUUGUAUUCAAAUGCAAAUUCUAUAUAAUGCACGUCCCUUGGGGGAGCUAUCCUAUUCUCUUUAGAACACUCUCUUUAUUCACCCAUCAUAAAAUCAUUUGAUCCCCAUCAAGUGUGUGUUGAUGGGAGGCAAGUCUUGCUCUUUAUGAUGCUUUGUGCCAUCAUGAAAAAUUGUAGAGGGCUUUGUUUGUUGGAACCUAGCUCUCUCUUGGAAACUAGAUACCUCAUGUUUGUUUUCCUUCAAUUGGUUUCUUGUUGCCUUCUAAUUGGCAUGUGUCAAUGGAUAUAUCAUUCCUUGAGGUAUCUUUUAAUUGAUAUCCUUCAAGUGAUAGUUCUUUUUGUUUUAGGAUCUUAUUAUCACUUGAUACCUUGUCUUUUGGUGACUAAUCAACUUUGUGUUGAGUUGAUUCUUAAGAGUCUUGAGCAUGCGUAUCAUAUCUACUAUAUACAACUUCUUUUGCUUGCUUUCCUUCUUUGACCCAAUAUAUAGGGGGAAUUCCACCUUGUCAUAAAUUGGCUAAAGUGUGCAUGAAAUUCAAAUUCAUAUCUAUAUGCACAUAUGUAUGUGGAGUUUGUCCUAUGUAUUGCUGGUUUUCUAACUCUUUGGUCCCAAUGAGUUUGGGCACCAUUUUGUUUGCUUUGUUGUUCCAAGAACAACUGGAGAUGCAUUGGAUGCUCGGCUCACCUAUAAGGAAGCUGUUGAGACCAUGUGAUUAUUGGAGCCAAGUUAGGAUGAUCAAAGAACAACCAUCUACUACAUCAAUCCAAUGUUGUCUCGGUAACAAGUAUCCACUUCAUGCAUUCUUUUCUUGCAAAGGACCCAACCUGUCUUUUCUUUUCCAGGUUGCAUCAUGGCAUGAAUCUCUUGAUUUGUUCUGGUAGUACUUGUUUGCUUUCUCAAAGCAUCCGAACGAUGAUGUCUUACUGCUAGUUGGGAUGUCUUUGAUGUUCGUAUGUUGGAAGUUCAUAUUAUACAAUAAGAAAACAUUAGGCCAUGUGCUAUGCUUCCAAGCAAAAGAUCUCAUUGAUAUAUUUAUGACUUCCCUUUUUGGAUAUCUAGUGUUCUUCCUUCUUGUAACCAUUUCGUGUGUACAUCCUUCUUUGUGGAUAUAUAUAUCAUCAUGAUUGUCUUCUACUUAGAAUCUUGGUCACAUGAGAGAAGUUACAUCUCUAAUUGAUAUCCUCUUUUCUUUCACGUCCAUCGCUGCAUUUCCUUUUUCGUUUUUGGUGGCAACGUGAAAGGAUUUGUUUUGAGUGCGUAUCUUAUUUUCCUACAUCUUGGUGCACUCUUUGGCCGUGAAGAUUAUUUUUCCUCAUGCUUGUCUUGAUGAGGGUUUUGCCAUUUUCAAUUAGUAUCCCUCCUCUUGACAAGAUUCUUACUUCCUAUCUUCACAAUGGGUUGUCACAAGCGUUGGUUCCUAUUUUAUUUAUUAGUAAGCUUGUGAACCCAUUUUCUAGUAUGUGUGUGUGGUAAUGAUAUGUCUUGCACUUUGUAUCUCAUAUUCAUCAAGACUAUGUUGAUGAGCAAUGCUCAUCCUUAUCUUAAGUCUUCUCAAGUGCUUUGCCAUGACUCACACACAUUACUUUGGUUGAGCUUAUUCUUAAGUUGCUUCCUUUACAUGUUGCUCAACCAUUAGUUUUGUGCAAUUGAUAUGCCUAUUGUCUCAUCUAUCUUCUUGCACUCGUUGUGUGUUUCUAUUAAUUCUGGGGGAGCAACGAUCCUAUUUUGUGCACCUGUGUCAAAUACAAUAAUAUCAUAUUAGUAAACAAAUCAUGGGGAGCUUCUCUAGUUUUUGAUAAAGCACUAUGUUGCCUUUAUCAUAAUAUCUUUUAUUUAUGUGGUUCGAAGGACCAUAUGAUUGUUUGUUCCAUCUGUAAUCCUUUGAUUGCCUGCCUCUAUCUUUGUAUGUCUUUGUGGCAUAUGAUUCUUUUUGCAAUUUUUGGUCCUUAAUAUAGUUUGUUUUCCUCCAACUACUUAUCAUUGUAUUUGUAUAUUUUUCUGCACUCAUUUGCUGAGAAGUACACAUUUUUUGGAGGACCAACUACUGUAUUUGCCUUCUAAACUGUUCGUCCAUUUUGGCAAUUGAUGCCAAUGGGGGAGAAGUUUAGAGAGUUUAUUUUGGAUAUGUUUAGAGGGUUUUGCUUUUAUUGCGUAAGCAUUUACAUCUUGCUCACAUGCAUUCAGCAUUUACAUCUUGCUCACAUGCAUUAUUACCUUGUAUGUGUGCGCUUGGUUAUGCUUAUUUCCUUAUAUGAACUCUCUUGAAGUGGUUGUCUUCAAUUACCAAAAUGGGGGAGAUUGUUAGAGCAUAUAUCUCCAUAUGUGGUUUUGGUAAUUGAUGACAAUUCCUAUGGACUAAUGGUUGCCUUAAGUUAUAUUUAUAGGAUUUGUCCAUAGGCACUUCUUGAAGUCCAUCUGUUGGGUUCAAGGAGUUUAUAUGUUGACCAAGAUGUUAUUCAAGUUAUUAUCCAAAGAAUGGUCAUAGAAACACUAGGUUGAUCAAGAUCUCAGACAAAGAGUAAAUCAAGAUGAUCAACACACAAAGCGUAUAAGAUGUACCGAGAGGGAUAAGUGAUCCCAUGGUAUGGUAAGCAUUGUCCAUUACGUGUUUGUGUACUAAUCCAUGGUCUUUGUGAGACUCCUAUGUGGGGGUUAGGUGUGUUUCCAUUGGGCUUGCGUCAAAAGGAAAAUCUCAUACAACCCAUGAAGGAUGACGUCAAGUGGUGAUCGUCAUCAAGAUUGUGGUGUGCAAGUUCAAGUGGAUCAGUACGAAUAUAUCACUGAAACUAUUGUCAAUGAUCAUGUGCUAACAAGGACAAGAUCAAGAUAAGCAUUUCUGAGCACUACAUGCUUGAUUCUUGUGGAUGUUCACAUGGUGGAUAGGACAAGAUCAAGAUAAGCAUUCUUGAGCACUACAUGCUUGAUUCUUGUGGAUGUUCACACAUGGUGGACAAAUGAAGAUAAAUACAUAAGCUAGGCUUUCCGCAUUGUGUAUGGGAAAGCUACUUGAAGACUUCAUCAUGUCUUGCUUUCAACUAGAGCCAAGAAGGAACAACAACAUCAAGCUCAGGUGAAAGGGCUAACUCAAAGGUAUCAGUUCCUUUGACGUUAGUUGUGCGGAGUGAUGAUCAGCGAAUAAAAGUAUACACUCAAGCAUGGAUCAUCAGUACUCUUUUAUGAUUCUUGAGUCCUUAGGGAUCCCGCACUAUUAAGAGGGGAUCACAGGUUUUGCGAUGAACUUGCUCAAACUACAUCAUCACUUUCUGCUCAGACCACAUCUCCACUGUUUUGUUGUUAUCUCAAAACAGAACCAGUGCCUCAGACAUCCGGCUUUCUCCGGACGUCCGAGGACCGGACAACUGACUCGUUUGGAAAUCCGGAAUCCUAUACCACAGAAAUCAGAGCCAUAUAACUCGGACUUCCGGCUACCUCCGGACGUCCGAGGCCCGGAUGUCCGGCCAAGUCCCGGAAAUCCGGAAGCCUGCACCAGUAGAAGUUGAGUUCUAUAUCUCGGAAAUCCGGCUCCCUCCGGACGACCGAGCGCCGGACGUCCAACACCCGUCGGAAAUCCGGAACCUACCACCAGUAGAAGUUGAGCUGUAUAACACGGACUUUCGGGCCACUCCGGACGUCCGUAUGCUGAUGAAUUCAAAUAUGUUCAGGCACAUCUACAGGCCUCGGACGACCGACCCCUGUCGGACGUCCGGCCGCUGAUGAAUUUAGAAGAGUUCCAGUCAUGCCUAAAAGUCUCGGACGUCCGACCCCGGUCGGACGUCCGGCCCCUCACGGACGCCCGGACUUCCGACAACUGUCGGACGUCCGGACCCUGUGUGACUUAAAGUGUCCCCAACGGCUCUUUUUCUCCCCACACUAUAAAUACCCCCUCCCACUUCGUGAGAGGGUUGCCUAACACAGCCUUAUCCUCAUAAGAACACAUUUCCACCUCACACACAUUUGCUCACUCCAAAUCUUAGAUCCCAAGAGCAUUUGUGAGCCCCUUUGAGAGUUGUUCCAAUCAAAAGAUAGAUCUUCUCCCUCUCCUUCUCUCAACCCAAGCUAUUUGUGAUUUGAGCAAGUUUUGAGCAUUCCCCGUGAUCUUGUUACUCUUGGAGGUUGAAGACUCCUAGGCGGUAGGAGUUCUUCGGAGAGGAAUCAAUUGAUGUGAUUUCCCCCGGAAAAGUUUGUGAGGGUUUGGAAGCCACCUCAAAGGCUUACCACUAGUGAUUGAGAAACGCCUUCAUGGUGUUAUCUCAAAGGGAGAAUAGGGUGAGCCUUCGUGGCGUUGGUGUGCCUUCGUGGUAACAUCCACCUCUCUAACGAUGACUAGCUUCCCUCCAAGGAAGUGAACAUCGGGAUACAUCUUCGUCUCAGUGACCUUGGUUAUCCUUAACCCUAACUCCUUACUUGUGGUUUACUUGUGUUAUUUGAGCAUACAUACAUACAUUGCAUAUUGCUUGUGCUCAUUAUAUUGUGUUGGCUAUUUCUUGUACAAGAUUAAUCAUUCAAGCAUACCCUCUAUAUCCACACGUUCAUACUUGCAGCCCUUGAUAUAUCGUGUGAUAUAGUGUGAUCUAGUAUCUUGUGUUGUUCACCUACUUGUCGUGUGAUAUAGCUCAAGUAAGUUUGUGUAACUUACUUGUGCUUGUUAGUAACUGUAUUGUGUCCAUCUUGGUAGAUUGUGUUGUUGAUACACGUUGCAGUGCCUAGUGCAUUUAGGAUUUGUGCUUGACAAGUACACUCUUAGUUUAUUUCCGCAUUAGUUUCAAGCCAAAUCUGAAGAAGUUUCUAAAUAGCCUAUUCACCCCCCCUCUAGGCGUCAUCGAGGUCUUUUCACUAUCUUGCUAUUCUUUCCUCUUUUUUCUAUCCGGAGUGUUGAAGAUAUUUCAGAAGUCCUGAUUUUCGAUGCUUCAAUUAUUUCGAGGUUCUCAACCUCAUCUAGUUCUCUUCAUACCGGUGCAAUCUCUUUAUCUAUUCAAUUGUUUUCAACGGUGGUUUCUUUGAGUGGGCCCAUGGCCCACAAGUUUUUCCCAAGAUCUUAUCUUCCUCUUGUACUCUUUCCCGGAGAUCAUUAAUUCUUUUCGAUUACGACAUAAGUAUGAAUUUCAUCAGUCAUAUCCCUUCUUCAAGAUCAAUUUGAAUUAAUUCUCAUAUUUGGCUCAACCUUGCAUUCUUCUUUAUUUCGUAGUGUCUCAGACAUUCUUGGUGGUGUUCUUCUCGUCAUUCUCUCCAUUGGAGAUUGAAGGAGUGUUUAUCUCAUAUCUUGGUGCCAUCAUCUUAAUUGUUCCCAAUCAUGAGUGGUUCAUUUCUUGCUAUCCGGUGCAUCUCUGGAUUGUUUCAUUCUUGAUCCUCCGAAGGCCAUAAUUUUAGAAGAUUCUUCGUUCUCAGCUUUCAGCUUUCGUCCUCAAUUCUUCUCAAUUGUUGUCUCUUCGUUCAUCUCUCUAUUAUUCUGGUGCCUUGUUCAAGUUUUCUGUUAGGUGGCUCAUGAUCUCUUCAUUAUCUUGUAUCUCCAUUAAUUCGUGGUGUUCCCAUUCAAUUGUGAAUUCUUACCGGUGAUCCCUUCAAUUAUGCCUCAAGCGGUGCUUAUCUCUCUGUCUCUUCAAGAUUCUUUCAAUAGGAAUAAGUUGUGUGUUUAAUCCGUUGUUUGUCUUCAAUUUAAUUUGAUGAAGGAUGAGCAUACCAUAAUUCUUAUUCUUGUUGCAUCAAGUGAUCCCAAUUCUUCGUCCGGAGUGGCUCAUGAUAUCAAUUCCUAUUUCUCAAGUGUUUUUAUCUUUUCGUCUUCGGAGUUCCAAGUUUUCUCAAGUAUCUUUCCGUGAAGCUUCAUCGAAGUCUUUGCAAGGCUUCAAUCUUAUUCUUUCAUCCUUCAUAUCUUGCAUCAUCCAUUUGAUACGAGGCUCGUCAUGGUGGUUCUUCAAGGAUGUGAUUUUUUUCCUCAAAGUGUUCUUCAAGAUUCCUGUUGGAGUACCUUGAUACGUCCAUUUUGCAUCAUGUUUUCAUGUUGAUAUUUAUCGCUUCUUUGGCUGUUAUUUCACUUCACGGUACUAUUCUUAUGCCUUUUCUCUCUUAUUUUGCAAGGUUUACAUGAAGAGGGAGAAUACCGGUAACUGGAAUUCUGGCCUGAAAGUGGAGCAAAGUUGAGAUACCUAUUCUGCGCAACUCCAAACGCCGUGAAAAUCAACGGAGAUUUUUUUCCCAAUUUAUAAAAAAUACUGGGCCAAAGAAGUGCCAGAGGGGCGCCAGGGGGUGGCCACAAGCCUGCAUGAUGCGACCACCCCCCCAGGUCGCGCCAUGGGGGCUUGUGGGCACCCUGCUGGCCCACUGGCCCCCUCUUUUGCUAUAUGGAGGGUUUCGUGCAGGAAAAAAUCAGAAGGGGGCUUUUUCGUGGUUUCACCGCUGCCACGAGGCGGAACUUGAGCAGAACCAAUCUAGAGCUCCGGCAGGAUGAUCCUGCCGGGGAAACUUCCCUCCCGGAGGGGGAAAUCGUCGCCAUCGUCAUCACCAACACUCCUCUCAUCGGAGGGGACUCGUCACCAUCAACAUCUUCAUCAGCACCAUCUCAUCUCCAAACCCUAGUUCAUCUCUUGUAACCAAUCUCCAUCUUGCGACUCCGAUUGGUACUUGUAAGGUUGCUAGUAGUGUUGAUUACUCUUUGUAGUUGAUGCUAGUUGGAUUACUUGGUGGAAGAGUUUAUGUUCAGAUCCUUGAUUCUACUCAUUACACCUCUGAUCAUGAUUAUGAUUAUGCUUUGUGAGUAGUUACUUUUGUUCCUGGGGACAUGGGAUAAGUCAUGCUAAUAAUAGUCAUGUGAAUUUGGUAUUCGUUCGGUAUUUUGAUAUGUUGUAUGUUGUUUUUCCUCUAGUGGUGUUAUGUGAACGUCGACUACAUAACACUUCACCAUUAUUUGGGCCUAGAGGAAGGCAUUGGUAAGUAGUAAAUAGAUGAUGGGUUGCUAGAGUGACAGGAGCUUAAACCCUAGUUUAUGUGUUGCUUCGUAAGGGCCUGAUUUGGAUCCACUAGUUUAAUGCUAUGGUUAGACUUUGUCUUAAUUCUUCUUUCGUAGUUGCGGAUGCUUGCGAGAGGGGUUAAUCAUAAGUGGGAUGCUUGUCCAAGUAAGGGCAGUAUCCAAGCGCCGGUCCACCCACAUAUCAAACUAUCAAAGUAACGAACGUGAAUCAUACGAACAUGAUGAAACUAGCAUGACAGAAAUUCCCGUGUGUCCUCGGGAGCGUUUUUCCUCCUAUAAGACUUUGUACAGGCUUGUCCCUUGCUACAAAAGGGAUUGGGGCACUUUGCUGCACUGUUGCUACUUUUGUUACUUGUUGCUUGCUACGAAUCAUCUCACCACACAAUUACUUGCUACCGAUAAUUUCAGUGCUUGCAGAUAUUUCCUUGUUGAAAACCACUUGUCAGAUCCUUCUGCUCCUCGUUGGGUUCGACACUCUUACUUAUCAAAAGGACUACGACUGAUCCCCUAUACUUGUGGGUCAUCAAGACUCUUUUCUGGCACCGUUGCCGGGGAGUGAAGCGCCUUUGGUAAGUGGAACUUGGUAAGGAAACAUUCAUAUAGUGUGCUGAAAUUUAUUGUCACUUGUCACUAUGGAUACUAAUCCUUUGAGGGGCUUGUUCAGGGUAUCUUCACCUCAAACGGAAGCACAAAGAGUUGCUCCUCAACCUGCCGCACCUACUGAAAUUUUUUGCUUUGAAUUUCCUUUGGGUAUGCUUGAGAAACUGCUGGCUAAUCCUUUUACAGGAGAUGGAACAUCACAUCCAGACUUGCAUCUGAUCUAUGUGGAUGAAGUUUGUGGUUUAUUUAAGCUUGCAGGUGUGCCCGAGGAUGAGGUCAAGAAGAAGGUCUUUCCUUUAUCUUUGAAGGAUAAGGCGUUGACAUGGCAUAGGCUAUGUGAUGAUACUGGAUCACGGGACUACAAUUGGUUGAAAUUGGAAUUUCAUCAAAAGUUUUAUCCUAUGCAUUUAGUACAUCGUGAUCGGAAAUUAUAUUUAUAAUUUUUGGCCUCGUGACAGAGAAAGCAUCGCUCAAGCGUGGGGGAGGCUUAAAUCAAUGCUAUAUUCAUGCCCCAAUCAUGAGCUCUCGAGAGAAAUUAUCAUUCAGAACUUCUAUGCUCGACUUUCUCAUGAUGAUCGCAUCAUGCUUGACACUUCUUGUACCGGUUCUUUUAUGAAGAGAGAUAUUGACUUCAAACGGAAUUUAUUGGAGAGAAUUAAACGCAACUCUGAAGAUUGGGAGCUUGAAGAAGGUAAGGAGUCAGGUAUGAAUUUCACUUUUGAUUGCGUUAAAUCCUUUGUUGAGAUAAAUACUUUUUGUGACUUUAGCGCUAAGUAUGGACUUGACUCUGAGAUAGUAGCUUCAUUGUGUGAAUCCUUUGCUGCCCAUAUUGAUCUCCCCAAAGAGAAGUGGUUUAAAUAUCAUCCUCCGUUAGAAGUCAAUGUAGUUAAACCCACUCCAGUUGAAGAGAAAGUCAUUGCCUAUAAUGAUCCUGUGGUUCCCAGUGCUUACAUUGAGAAACCACCUUUCCCUGUUAGGAUAAAGGAUCAUUCUAAAGCUUCAACUGUCAUACGUAGAGGCUAUAUUAGAACACCUACACCCCCUGAGCAAAAUAGAGUUGAACCUAGCAUUGCUAUUAUCAAAGAUCUUCUGUCUAAAGAAGUUGAGGGACAUAAUAUUCACUUUUGUGAAGAUGCUGCUAUAAUUGCUAAACCUCACGUUAGAGACAAACAUAGGCCUGUUGUUGGCAUGCGUGUGGUUUCUGUUAAGAUAGGAGAUCAUUGUUAUCAUGGUUUAUGUGACUUGGGUGCUAGUGUUAGUGGAAUACCUCAAUCCUUAUACGAUGAAGUCAAAGAUGAGAUUGCACCUUUUGAGAUAGAACCCAUUGAUGUCACUAUUGACCUUGCCAAUAGAGAUACUAUGUGCCCUGUGGGAAUUGUUAGGGAUGUUGAAGUCUUGUGUGGUAAAACGAAGUAUCCUGCUGAUUUCCUCGUUCUUGCUACUGCACAAGAUAGCUUUUGUCCCAUCAUAUUUGGCAGACCUUUUCUCAAUACCGUCAAUGCUCAUAUUGACUAUGAGAAGCAAACUAUCACUGUUGGCUUUGAAGGUGUGUCACACGAGUUCAAUUUCUCUAAGUUUGGUAGACAACCUCAUGAAAAGGAGUUGCCUAGUAGGGAUGAAACUAUUGCCUUAGCUUCUAUUGCCGUGCCUCCUACUGAUCCCUUAGAGCAAUACUUGCUUGAGCAUGAAAAUGAUAUGCAUAUGGAUGAAAGGGAUGAGAUAGAUAGAGUUGUCUUAGAACAAUAUCAUAUCCUUAAGAAUAACUUGCAUGUUGAACUGCUUGGGGAUCCACCCCCACCAAAGGGUGAUCCUAUGUUCGAGCUUAAACAGUUGCCUGAUACUCUUAAGUAUGCCUAUCUUGAUGAAAAGGAGAUAUAUCCUAUUAUUAUUAGUGCUAGCCUCUCAGAGCAGGAAGAAAAGAAGUUACUAAAAACUCUGAGGAAGCACCGUGCUGCUAUAGGAUAUACUCUUGAUGAUCUUAAGGGCAUUAGUCCCACUCUAUGCCAGCACAAGAUCAAAACUGAUCCUGAAUUCAAACCAGUUGCUGAUCAUCAAAGGAGAUUGAAUCCUAAGAUGAAAGAAGUAGUGAGAAAAGAAAUACUAAAGCUCCUGGAAGUGGGUAUUAUCUAUAGCGUUGCUCACAACGAUUGGGUGAGUCCGGUGCAUUGCGUUCCUAAGAAGGGAUGCAUCACCGUUGUCCCUAAUGAUAAGGAUGAGUUGAUCCCACAAAGGAUUAUUACUGGCUAUAGGAUGGUGAUUGAUUUUAGGAAGUUGAGUAAGGCCACUAGGAAAGAUCAUUACCCUUUGUCUUUUAUCGACCAAAUGCUAGAAAGACUAUCCAAACACACACACUUCUGCUUUCUAGACGGUUAUUCUGGUUUCUCCCAAAUACCAGUUGCACAAUCUGAUCAGGAGAAAACCACUUUCACCUGCCCUUUUGGUACCUUUGCUUGUAGACGUAUGCCUUUUGGCUUGUGUAAUGCACCUGCCACCUUUGAAAGAUGUACGAUGGCUAUAUUCUCUGACUUUUGUGAAAAGAUUUUCGAGGUUUUCAUGGAUGACUUCUCCGUUUACGGGUCUUCCUUUGAUAAUUGCCUCAGCAACCUUGAUCGAGUCUUGCAGAGAUGUAAAGACACCAAUCUUGUCUUGAAUUGGGAGAAGUGCCACUUUAUGGUUAAUGAAGGCAUCGUCUUAGGACGUAAAAUUUCUGAAAGAGGUAUUGAACUUGGAGGUAAGUAUCGAUGAAUUAUUAUUGUUGACAUUACCCUUGAGGUAAGCAGUUGGGAGGCAAAACUAUAAGCCCCUAUCUUUCUUUGUGUCCAGCUGAAACUUUGAUCUCAUGAGUACCACGUGAGUUGUAGCAAUUGUAGAGAACGAAAGAAUGAUUGAGUAUGUGGAUUUGCUUUACAAGCUCUUAUUUGACUCUUUCUGAUGUUGUGAUAAAUUGCAAUUGCUUCAAUGACUAAAGGCUAUCGGUUGUUACUCCUCGGUAAGGUUCUUGAUCCAUGCUUUACUUUGUGAAGGAAUUAUCACUUCAACAUGAGAGUUUAUAUGUUGGUAUUGCUGUUCUGAUCUUGAUCAUGAUGCAUGCAUGUUUGUAUCUUGUUUUGUCGACACCUCUCUCCCUAAACAUGUGGACAUAUUUAUUGAGCUAGGCUUUCGCUUGAGGACAAGCGAGGUCUAAGCUUGGGGGAGUUGAUAAGUCCAUUUUGCAUCAUGUUUUCAUGUUGAUAUUUAUCGCUUCUUUGGCUGUCAUUUCACUUCACGAUACUAUUCUUAUGCCUUUUCUCUCUUAUUUUGCAAGGUUUACAUGAAGAGGGAGAAUACCGACAACUGGAAUUCUGGCCUGAAAGUGAAGCAAAGUUGAGAUACCUAUUCUGCGCAACUCCAAACGCCGUGAAAAUCAACGGAGAUUUUUUUCCCAAUUUAUAAAAAAUACUAGGCCGAAGAAGUGCCAGAGGGGCGCCAGGGGGUGUCCACAAGCCUGCACGGCGUGGCCACCCCCCAGGCCGCGCCAUGGGGGCUUGUGGGCACCCUGUUGGCCCACUAGGCCCCUUCUUUUGCUAUAUGGAGGGUUUCGUCCAGGAAAAAAAUCAGAAGGGAGCUUUUUCGUGGUUUCUCCGCCGCCACGAGGCGGAACUUGAGCAGAACCAAUCUAGAGCUCCGGCAGGACGAUCCUGCCGGGGAAACUUCCCUCCCGGAGGGGGAAAUCGUCGCCAUCGUCAUCACCAACACUCCUCUCAUCGGAGGGGACUCGUCACCAUCAACAUCUUCAUCAACACCAUCUCAUCUCCAAACCCUAGUUCAUCUUGUAACCAAUCUCCAUCUCGCGACUCCGAUUGGUACUUGUAAGGUUGCUAGUAGUGUUGAUUACUCUUUGUAGUUGAUGCUAGUUGGAUUACUUGGUGGAAGAGUUUAUGUUCAGAUCCUUGAUGCUACUCAUUACACCUCUGAUCAUGAUUAUGAUUAUGCUUUGUGAGUAGUUACUUUUGUUCCUGAGGACAUGGGAUAAGUCAUGCUAAUAAUAGUCAUGUGAAUUUGGUAUUCGUUCGGUAUUUUGAUAUGUUGUAUGUUGUUUUUCCUCUAGUGGUGUUAUGUGAACGUCGACUACAUAACACUUCACCAUUAUUUGGGCCUAGAGGAAGGCAUUGGGAAGUAGUAAAUAGAUGAUGGGUUGCUAGAGUGACAGAAGCUUAAACCCUAGUUUAUGCGUUGCUUCGUAAGGGGCUGAUUUGGAUCCACUAGUUUAAUGCUAUGGUUAGACUUUGUCUUAAUUCUUCUUUCGUUGUUGCGGAUGCUUGCGAGAGGGGUUAAUCAUAAGUGGGAUGCUUGUCCAAGUAAGGGCAGUAUCCAAGCGCCGGUCCACCCACAUAUCAAACUAUCAAAGUAACGAACGUGAAUCAUAUGAACAUGAUGAAACUAGCAUGACAGAAAUCCCUGUGUGUCCUCAGGAGCGUUUUUCCUCCUGUAAGACUUUGUACAGGCUUGUCCCUUGCUACAAAAGGGAUUGGGGCACUUUGCUGCACUGUUGCUACUUUUGUUACUUGUUGCUUGCUACGAAUCAUCUCACCACACGAUCACUUGUUACCGAUAAUUUCAGUGCUUGCAGAUAUUUCCUUGCUGAAAACCACUUGUCAGAUCCUUCUGCUCCUCAUUGGGUUGGACACUCUUACUUAUCGAAAGGACUACGAUUGAUCCCCUAUACUUGUGGGUCAUCAUAGCUCAAGUAUUCUUUCUCUUGCAUUUCCAAUGCGUUGUUCUCCUUUAUCCUUUGAGGUGGUAUUAUAGCAUUCUUGUUGGUGGAGGAGUCACGAAGAGAAGUUGUUUCAAAAAUUAAAUAUGUAAACCCACCAAUUCUUUGAUCAUGUGUUAUUUUUCAACCCGUGAUUUCUUCAUUGAGCUAUCUUGGUUUGGAUUUCACCUAAAGCUUUUCCUAAGGAUUGUUGCUAUUAUGGUGAUUAUCAUUGAUCCGAGUUCUCAAUGUAUGCUCUAGCUAAAAGAAGUUUUCCUUCUCUUGGUUCUCCCAAUCAAUCUUUGUUUCCGUUAGUGGCUGGUUGUCAACUCUUUGUUAGAGAUGGUUUUCAUAAGUCCACUACAAGCUUGCAUGCNNNNNNNNNNNNNNNNNNNNNNNNNNNNNNNNNNNNNNNNNNNNNNNNNNNNNNNNNNNNNNNNNNNNNNNNNNNNNNNNNNNNNNNNNNNNNNNNNNNNCUUUACACGUGGAACUGGAUUUAUGCACCGGGCUUUCCAGGGUAUGAUGCUAUUUAUGAUUCAGUGCUACAUAAUGGUUGAAGUCUGUAACUCACACAUGUUGUUUGUAGAUAAAUAGUAGGCUACAUAGUGAUGUCAUGAAUUCAUAGACUUAAGUGCAUAGGAAUGAUCAAAAUCAGAAUUUUCAUCUUCCCAGUGUAGAGGCAAUUUAUGUAAUCAUCUGUGCAGACUUUGCUGUUAGUGCUGUUAGUCCUUGAUUUUCAGUCAACUGCAUAAGUCAAAGGACCGCAGCCAGUUCUAAAAGUGUUAUUACCACCUUGUGCUGUUUACCUUAGCUAGAUGUCAACAAUAUUUUUGUUAUGGCAUAGCUUCAAAGACUUAGCCAUGGACAGGGGUGCGUGGAAGUUAGCUAUCCACGUUCCAGAGCCAUGACUUGGUUUCGAGAUCUUAUGGGUUUCAACUCUAGCCUACCCCAACUUGUUUGGGACUGAAAGGCUUGGUUGUUGUUGUUGCAUAGCUUCAAUUUUCAGGCUAUGGAUGUGCACACAGUUGCCACAGACCAUCAAAAUAAAAUUUAUGCUAUGUCACAAGAAGAUUAGUGUCUUGCUGCAUCAAAAUGCACGUAGUUUGUUUGCCUUGCAUGCCUAGCUAGAUUUCAGGAAUUCUUGACCUAUGAUUUCACAAUAAAUUUGUUAUUUAACUGAUGUUUUUUUAAUGCAGCAUAUGCUAAAUACAGAGGUCCACUGGGCACUGUUAGAAAAGGAGUUACUGGUAAAUCAAAUUUCAGCACCUUCAUAAUCUUAUAUUCUUACAUUACUCUUAUUUGCUUAUCUUAUACGUAAAUCAUAUUUUACAUUGCAAUAAGGUAUUAAUACUGAUGUUCAUUUUUAGCAAAGAAGCAUGCAUAUCUUAAUAUCUUAAUUAAAUAGAAACAGUACUUUGAACAGUACAUAUGUGCUGCUGAACUCUGCAAGUGGAAGUUGAUUUUUCUCCAUGUUCAUAUAUAGNNNNNNNNNNNNNNNNNNNNNNNNNNNNNNNNNNNNNNNNNNNNNNNNNNNNNNNNNNNNNNNNNNNNNNNNNNNNNNNNNNNNNNNNNNNNNNNNNNNNUAAUCGGAAAGAAGGGAGUACUGUGAUUUGUAGUCUACUCAUUUUGACCCAAAUAUAACAAAAGGAGACCCAUUUUGAUUUAUGUAUUUAUAUAUUCUAAUCCGCUACAUAUGACAAUGAAAUAAACAUCAACGACAAUUCAUAAGUGCACACUACACAUGUGUAUGUGUAUAUUAAUUUUCAGAAUUUUUGGAGGUAUAGCAAAAAAAUUWGAAAAAUAAAGGGCUCAGUGGAGCCCCUCCUCCAAAUCUCAUUUUCAGCAUAGAUUAUGGCCAUUUUGAAGCUCCCUUUUUCUUAGCAAUUUGUAAUUCAAAAUUUAGAAGCAUACAGCUAGUGCCCACUACUCCGUCACCUCAACUUACAAAGCAUAGUUCCACGAAACCACUCGCUCGCCCAUGACUUAUGGGGUCUGAAAGACUUGGGCUCCUUCCAAGGUCUAUCUUUUUGCCUGACUUGCUAUUCAAACCGGAUUUGGACUGCCGAUAAGCUCAAGAGGCACGGUUGGNNNNNNNNNNNNNNNNNNNNNNNNNNNNNNNNNNNNNNNNNNNNNNNNNNNNNNNNNNNNNNNNNNNNNNNNNNNNNNNNNNNNNNNNNNNNNNNNNNNNAAUGUGCUCGGAUCACUUCCGCAGCCUUUUUAAAAUAUAAACUGUUUUGGCAGUUUAAAACAUGUGGAUCUAUAAUAUACUCCCUUAGUCACAAAUUACUUGUCUUAUAUUUGUUCACAUAUGGAUGUAUUUAGACAUAUGUUAAUGUUAGAUACAUCCGUAGAUGUAUCUAGACAAACCCAAGACAAGUAAUUUGGAACAUCGAUAAUAUGCGUUGUACUUACUACAACCUCUAGGAGUAAUGACUUAAAAAAUAACUUAUACUUCAUUCGUUUCAAAAAGUUGUUUUAGAUUUGUCUAGAUAUGAAUGUAUUUAAUCAUGUUUUAGUAUUUAGAUACAUUCAUUUUUAGACAAAUUUAAAAUAAGAAUUUUAAGACGAAGGGAGUAUAAGUUGGGAGUAUUGUUCAGAUACACGAUGGAUCUACUUAACUGACCUAAAACGUCUUCCAUUUGUUGCAUCAAAAAWAUCUUGAUAACAAAUUAUAGGAUCACACUUUGAUUUUCCUUUUGUGAAACUUCGGUUUAUUUAUUUUAAAAAUUUUGAGAUCCGAUGGACAGGAGCCUAUGCGCCUAUCUAUACGGUCCUUUUGCCGUAGGUGCCAACAUGCCUCGGCAAAUUUAUGUGCUCCCUCGGUUCCUAAAUAUCAGUCUUUUUUAGAUGUNNNNNNNNNNNNNNNNNNNNNNNNNNNNNNNNNNNNNNNNNNNNNNNNNNNNNNNNNNNNNNNNNNNNNNNNNNNNNNNNNNNNNNNNNNNNNNNNNNNNUUGUGCGCAUACAUUUAUGGGCUAUGUUUGUCACGAUUAUGGUAUUUCAUUUUUGAAAAUCUUAUUGUUUAUUUCAAUAUGUUAGCUGGCCAUUUGUUUAGAGCAGAUUUAUAUAAAAUAAACCGUCAAUUUGGUGCAAUUUCAAAAAAAAGUAAGUCGAUUAAGUGCUAGGUGCGUUUUCUACACAACUGCCUGCCCACCAAGCGCGGUAUUAGGAGGAGAUGUAUCAGAAAUUUGUUUUGGAUUUCAGAAAGAAAAAGAAAUUUGAAGUACCUAAAAAUUCAAAAAUAUCAAAUACAUAUAGAUGUGUUCUACAUGUUUGUGAACACAUAUGAUGAAAUCCAUGUGAGCUAUAGGGAAAAACAAUUUAUGUGGAUUUUUAGAACAUGCACUACUUUAAUGGUUUUGUUGUUUUUGUAUACCUCAUAAGUUAAUGUAUUUCAUAAUGAAAUUUAUACAAAUGUGUAAUCAUGUUGAUUUUCUAAAGGAUACUUGAUAAUUCAAAAAAAAAUGGAACGGAGGCAAAAGAUUUGCCUUAUCCAUUAAUUAAGAAGUUAAGAGUUGCUUUUUUACGACCAAAAAGCAAUAGAAUUAUUACAAAGCCACUACUCGUGGCAUGAUGUUUCUCAAGUGCUUCGUGCCAGCGGUAAUUUAGAGUCGGACGGUAGUGUNNNNNNNNNNNNNNNNNNNNNNNNNNNNNNNNNNNNNNNNNNNNNNNNNNNNNNNNNNNNNNNNNNNNNNNNNNNNNNNNNNNNNNNNNNNNNNNNNNNNGUUAAUGUGGCAAACAUUUAUACAAAGAAAGAUGAAACCGCAUACAUAACAGCUUAAGUCAAGUAUCCAUGAAAAUAUGAUCUGGGCCAAARRAAAUCACAAGAUAUGUAGACAUCCAAAAUAUGACUGGGUAGAAAAGACUGAAAGUUGAUAUCAUACUGCAAAAGGUAGUGAAACAAAUUGAUACUCAUUCCUCAAUAACGAGGACUAAAUUCAUACACCAUCUUAGGAGACAUACUACGAGAGGAAAAACUAUCAACAUGGAAGCAUGGACAAUAAGCUAAAUGCCCCACUUCAACCACUACUCAGCAUUCCAUUAUUAAUGUUGAACCAUCCAAGAAUUAUUUGCUUGCUGAACAAAGUAAGGACGAAAAGAAUAAACAAGUACAUAUCAAGCACCUUUCAUAUUGAUGCCUCCAGCACAUUCAUUCUUAAAAGCAAGAAACAAUAGGGGAUGACCUUCUUGCAAUUUUACUAAGAAGGAAGGUAAAUGCGCGCAUCAAGAUUAUCAUGGUUGCUGCAGCAUGCGUAGGAUGNNNNNNNNNNNNNNNNNNNNNNNNNNNNNNNNNNNNNNNNNNNNNNNNNNNNNNNNNNNNNNNNNNNNNNNNNNNNNNNNNNNNNNNNNNNNNNNNNNNNUCGAUUAGUCCCACAUCGCUCGCGGAGCACGGCGGGGCAGGGUCGGACGAGUAUAAAUGGAGGGGCGGGGGCACGGUUGUAAGUCAUACCUUUCUCGGCCUUUUGGCUAAGAUCAAGUGUAGUAUCUGUUCUUAUCAGUUUAAUAUCUGAUAUGUGGGCCAUGCGCCCACAACGAUAUUAAAUUUAUUUUAUGGGGAGGAUCCACCACAGUGGCUUGCUGCUGGGCUCCUCACGCGUUCCCUGGACGUUGCACUGCUGUCCAGGUGUGGCGCACCCCAACCAAAUCUAAAUUAACUAUUUUGAUCGGGUUAAGUUGAGGUGGCUGAAGUAUUAAGGUUUUGAACACUGUUCUACCGGUUGAAUGCCCAUUGCAGCACUCAAGCUAAUGUUGUAUUUAAAAAUAGGCGAAGCUUUCUUGAAAAAGUAUGGAUUAUUGUUUUGUUUUGUGAACAUAGUACAAGUAAGGAAUAGAUGCAUUAUCGUAUUUAUAUUUCUGAAUAAGUGUCAUUUAUUGCCUCUGACUGUUUCAUGAAAAUUGGACGGGACUGAAAUAUUCUGCUGGGCACUGGACAGCUUAGCCAUUUGUGGGUGUGUGAUUUGUCUCACGAUUUUAUAGACCUCUUUCGAAUAUCUUUCUGCCCAUGCAGGCAUUGCCGCAAAAUCAUUAUCUUUGAUUUAUAAAAAUUUAGCAACGGAUAUUCAGGAUUUCAACAAUAAGUAGUUUCUUUUUCCAUUCGUUACUUAACCCCCUUCACGCACACUAUCGUGUAAGUGCGUUGUAUGCGACGACUCUCUCUACAUGUNNNNNNNNNNNNNNNNNNNNNNNNNNNNNNNNNNNNNNNNNNNNNNNNNNNNNNNNNNNNNNNNNNNNNNNNNNNNNNNNNNNNNNNNNNNNNNNNNNNNUAAAUUUUGAAUUACAAAUUGCUAAGAAAAAGGGAGCUUCAAAAUGGCCAUAAUCUAUGCUGAAAAUGAGAUUUGGAGGAGGGGCUCCACUGAGCCCUUUAUUUUUUCAAUUUUUUUUUGCUAUACCUCCAAAAAUUCUGAAAAUUAAUAUACACAUACACAUGUGUAGUGUGCACUUAUGAAUUGUCGUUGAUGUUUAUUUCAUUGUCAUAUGUAGCGGAUUAGAAUAUAUAAAUACAUAAAUCAAAAUGGGUCUCCUUUUGUUAUAUUUGGGUCAAAAUGAGUAGACUACAAAUCACAGUACUCCCUUCUUUCCGAUUAAUAGUUUCAUCUAAAAAAAUUAGUUUUUAUUAUACUAGGCUUAUUUUGAGUCUAAUUGAGUUAAACUGCUUUGAUUCGCACGUCAUAUUUAAUUCAUAGAGAUAAAAGAAAGAGAAUAUUUAAUUCAUAGAGAUAAAGARAAGGAUUAUUGGCUAUACAWUUUUUUCUACAUGCAUCAUGCAAGUUCAAUAAAAAGAAGAAUGCUACAUUUAUUGACUCAAAAUUUAAUAUAUGAGAAAUAUUUUAUUGACUAAUCAAAACUAGUGUCAUCCACUCACAAUUCAUCUUGAUUGAUGAGAUUUCAGAUUUAAAUCCUAUAAACCAAAAGAAGCAAAUAUUAUUUAAUACAAAAAGAUCUUAUGUGNNNNNNNNNNNNNNNNNNNNNNNNNNNNNNNNNNNNNNNNNNNNNNNNNNNNNNNNNNNNNNNNNNNNNNNNNNNNNNNNNNNNNNNNNNNNNNNNNNNNAGAUUGGAUUGGAUUUGUUUGCUGUAUUACAUACUAAAAUAUUCCCUGUUUAAUCUUCAUUUUGGGGGAAAAUAGAAGUAUGGCAUUUGGCCAGGUGAAAUGUUAUAAUUGGUUACACAACUGGAUGUCGCUGACAACCCAUUGCUCAAUUACAAAUCAUGGAUAGAUGGAAAAGGCUGACCUCCAGUACAUGAUGGAUGACGAAUUUGUUCUUGAAUCAUCAAACUUACCCAAAUGUAUUUUGCAGUUAGUCCUCUGAAUGUGCUUCUAAAUUGGUAGUUGAGAGUAAGGACCUAGUCUUCUACUAUCAUUAAAUAUAUUGGGGGGGGGGCGUAAAUCCAGGGUAUGGUGCUAGCCUCCUACUGUCCUUUUUCUUUUCUUUUUCCAGUAAUAUAAGUUUUUUUUGCAGUAUGCACCAUGAUAGAUUUAUUGUGAAGUUCCUUGGCAUUUGUUAAUGUUUGACAUCACAAACUUACACCAACGUAUUUCUGAAUUCUGAUUACGCCGUUUUAUGUCAUCAUAUGUGGAAUUUUAUGAGGACUUUGUCAUUGGUUAAAUGACAUAAGAUCCAAUAGCAUUUCUAUAGUCUAACUUUACAUGUUGCCGGUGCCAACUAGAAUGCACUCAUUGGAGCAUAAUCUGUCAAUUUGUUGGUGAUAUUUAAUGAAAAUCUGAACUUGGCUGACUUCGCUUGAUUUUUAAAUUUGCAGGUAACUGGANCGAAAAUUGGGAACCGUUUGAUGGCAGAGGCAGAAACAANNNNNNNNNNNNNNNNNNNNNNNNNNNNNNNNNNNNNNNNNNNNNNNNNNNNNNNNNNNNNNNNNNNNNNNNNNNNNNNNNNNNNNNNNNNNNNNNNNNNUGAUCUUCUUCAUGAUGUUUUUAUGUAUUGUACUGAUGUGACUUUGAUGUAGCUUGUGGCGAGUGUAAGCCAGUUCAAUAUAUCUUCUCUUUUCAGUACAUGUACUUGUAACGAUAUCCAUUCUUGCGAAACGACGAGAUGCGCUUCUAUCCCUGUCGAGGCCCUCGUGCCUAAAUAAGGAUAGGAUCGCAUCUUGGGCGUUACAAAUUCGCAUGAUUAAAAUCCUUAGGAGUUUUCCUUAAGAAAAUCCUUGGAUUUUUUCAAAAGAAAUCCUUAGAAAGACUUAUUUUUUAUGCUCUAUAUUUUGGAGAUGACUUCCAAACAUUUAAAGAAAUUGCACACAAAUUGUUUUUUGCUGGGAUGAAUAAAAUGGAUGCAAGCAGUGUGUCGUCUGUGUCUGAUGCUGCUGGAAGAAAAUCUACCGUGUGUUUGAAUAUUUUCAAAUAAGAGGUAGAAUGUCAUGACAUUUUCCACAUGGAUCUAACCUUUCCAAAAUUAAUCCAUCGACGCGCAUAAAACUGAAUCUGAAUCAUGCUAAAUCUAGGGUAUCACUUUAAUAAACUUUAACCUAUUCAUCUUCAUCAUGACAAUACAAUGAACAUAAAUAGNNNNNNNNNNNNNNNNNNNNNNNNNNNNNNNNNNNNNNNNNNNNNNNNNNNNNNNNNNNNNNNNNNNNNNNNNNNNNNNNNNNNNNNNNNNNNNNNNNNNCCCGUGUACCGAACCGUUGUGGAGGGCAGCGCACUCUAUAUAAGCCACCCUCCCCCACUGGUAAAGGGGUUAGCAACUUGUUGUAUUCCCUAUUCCACUCGACAAGAAGCUCCCUGAGCACUGAGACGUAAGGCUAUUACCUCCAUCGCAGAGGGGCCUGAACUCAUACAUCCUCGCCGUAGCUAGGACUCUGCCCAUCCUUUUCGUACCCUACACAUCUACUGUCAGGCUUAUACCCACGACAGUUGGCCCCCACCGUGGGGCAGGCGUCUAAGCGACUUCCGGCGAGUUUGCGACUACUUCCUUUCGUCAUGUCGUCCGGUGGAGGUUCGAGCAUGGGUCACCAGAUCUUCUUCGGUGCUCUCUCCUUCAUUGUCGACGAUUCGGCGUGGCUUCGGGAUGCUCCUCUCGACGUCGAGGCGCUUCCCCGUCGUGGGGCUACGCACUUCCGUGUCGGCGCCCGCGGCAUUCUUCUUCUCCAACAGUCGACUCCGAUGUCGACCUGCAGCGCCGUCACGCGCCGCAGCAAGCAGUCCCGCCGUCCGCGGCUCCAGCGUUGGGUGCAACACACCCCAGGCGCGCCAAAACGCGUCUUCACAAGUGGCGGUUCUAGAGUCCGUUGUGGUUGCCCCGCUGUCCCAGCACUCGGACNNNNNNNNNNNNNNNNNNNNNNNNNNNNNNNNNNNNNNNNNNNNNNNNNNNNNNNNNNNNNNNNNNNNNNNNNNNNNNNNNNNNNNNNNNNNNNNNNNNNGGAUCAUCACUUUCUCUAUAUCUAUAACCACACUAGACAUGUUAAAAAUAGAUUCAUAAGAGGCAAGAAAGACAAAUGAAACACAAAAUCCAAUGUAAAGAUGAUUAUCAAUUCCAAUCACAUGAUGGGAAUACCAAUUGUCAAGGACAAGAAGUAUUUUUGAAAUGAUACUCAUUAGUAGAUCACAAAUAUAUCCAAGAUCAUCUUUACCCAUAAAACGCAAGCAAAUGUCACUUGUAGAGCUAACAUGCCACCUAGGAACAAGAUAAUUUACAAUAUCAACACUAAGUGGCAACACCUCAAAUGUACACAUUUUCUAGGUUUGUAAUAUGCACAUAGCAUAUUACUCCCCCACAAUGUGAUAAACCAAUAACAUUGACAAGUGGCAAAUUAGAACCAACAAGAGAUACUUAAUGGACCAUAUAGAAUGUGAAUUUCUCAUGAGUAAGACAUACCACAUAGACACUAGAUAAUCUUGAAGCAUCAAAACUAAGUGGUAUUCCCCAUGUAUANNNNNNNNNNUAAUGUGAUAACCAACAAUAUUAACAAGUGGCAAAUUGAAACCAACAAGAGAUAAUUAAUGGACCAUAUGGAAUUUGAAUUUCUCAUGAGUAAGACAUACCACAUAGAAACUAGAUAAUCUUGAAAUAUCAAAACUAAGUGGUAUUCCCCAUGUAUACACAUUUAUAGGAUUGAGAGGUGUGCAAAGCACAUCACUCCCCCACAAUGGGAUAAUCCAUUAAUCUCUCACAAGAGCCAACAAAAAUACAGACAAGAUGCAAAUAGGCUCAAUACAAGACUCACAUGUACAUGAUGUGCAAAGCAACACAUACUUGAUUACUCAAGAUAAGCAAGUUGAAAGCACAACAUAUACAAACGCAUGCAAGGUACAAAACCACAACAUGCAAAAGGGGGCAAGCACCUAACAAUGUAAACAGUUUAAGUAUAAGUUACCGUANNNNNNNNNNCCAACAUACACAUACUUGAUUACUCAAGAUAAGCAAGUUGGAAGCACAACAUAUACAAACACAUGCAAGGUACAAAACCACAACAUGCAAAAGGGGGGCAAGCACCUAACAAUGUAAACAGUUUAAGUAUAAGUUACCGUAAGGAGGCACAUUAGAUAUAAGAUAGAAACUUGAUAAUCCAAAUGACUUGGCUUGAGAUAAUAUGAAUGAUGAAGACCCAUUAAUUCUUCAUUAUGUAUCCAAGUCUCUAAUGUCCUCCAUAGUCACCUAUUGAUCAAGUUUGAGCUUGUUGGUCCCCAACUACGUUGGGUCCUAAGAAGUUAAUCACAAUAGGCUUGGCAAACCAAAUGGUUCUUUUCUUGACACCAUUUUGAGUACCAACAAACUUGGCAAACACAUUGCCAACCUUAUCCUUCCCAAGGGAAUAGAUAUCAUCAAUAGUGAUUGGGUUGGAUAAGUUACCUCUUGUGCAAGACGAAGCAACGUGACCUUUCUCACGACAUAAGUAGCAACAUCUACCCUUUGCUUUCUUCCCAGUUGAUUUCUCACCUUGGGGAGUGUUGGUUUGGGUCUUAUUGGAAGAGGCCUUCCUUCAACUUGUAGUUGAAUAUGUGAUUGAGUCUGUGGCCGCUUCCCUUGUUGCUUGUGACUUUGAGACUUCGUCUUCAGANNNNNNNNNNGACGUGACCCUUCUCACGACAUAAGUAGCAACAUCUACCCUUUUCUUUCUUCGCAGUUGAUUUCUCACCUCGGGGAGUGUUGGUUUGGGUCUUAUUGGGAAGAGGCCUUGCUUCAACUUGUAGUUGAAUAUGUGAUUGAGUUUGUGGCCGCUUCCCUUGUUGCUUGUGACUUUGAGACUUCGUCUUCAGAGGGCAAGAUCUAACAUGGUGCCCUUUAACUUUGCACUUGAAGCAAAUGAUUUUGGCCGAAUUCUUGACUUGUUCUAGGCCCCUCUUGUUCUUGUUUGAGUUUACUCCAAACUCAUUUUUGUCAUUCGGAGAUGUUUGCUCACACAGGACAUUGUUGAGUGUGGGCAUCUCUUCAUGACACUGUUCCAAGUCUUUCUUCAAAGAAGUGACUUGGGCCUUGAGCUCUUUGAUUUCCUCUGCACGGUUAGUAUCAAUGAAAGUACUAGAGGAAGUGUGGGCUUCAAUGUUAGAGCAACAAGGCAAGGAAAGUAAUUCAUCACAUGAGGUAGCAACAUUAUGAGUAGACGAAUUACGAGGACUAGCACAUGGANNNNNNNNNNNNNNNNNNNNNNNNNNNNNNNNNNNNNNNNNNNNNNNNNNNNNNNNNNNNNNNNNNNNNNNNNNNNNNNNNNNNNNNNNNNNNNNNNNNNAAGAUCACGGGGAAUGCUCAAAACUUGCUCAAAUCACAAAUAGCUUGGGUUGAGAGAAGGAGAGGGAGAAUAUCUAUCUUUUGAUUGGAACAACUCUCAAAGGGGCUCACAAAUGCUCUUGGGAUCUAAGAUUUGGAGUGAGCAAAUGUGUGUGAGGUGGAAAUGUGUUCUUAUGAGGAUAAGGUUGUGUUAGGCAACCCUCUCACGAAGUGGGAGGGGGGUAUUUAUAGUGUGGAGAGAAAAAGAGCCGUUGGGGACACUUUAAGUCACACAGGGUCCGGACGUCCGACAGUUGUCGGAAGUCCGGGCGUCCGUGAGGGGCCGGACGUCCGACCGGGGUCGGACGUCCGAGACUUUUAGGCAUGACUGGAACUCUUCUAAAUUCAUCAGNNNNNNNNNNGGUUGUCGGAAGUUCGGGCGUCCGUGAGGGGCCGGACGUCCGACCGGGGUCAGACGUCCGAGACUUUUAGGCAUGACUGGAACUCUUCUAAAUUCAUCAGCGGCCGGACGUCCGACAGGGGUCGGUCGUCCGAGGCCUGUAGAUGUGCCUGAACAUAUUUGAAUUCAUCAGCAUACGGACGUCCGGAGUGGCCCGAAAGUCCGUGUUAUACAGCUCAACUUCUACUGGUGGUAGGUUCCGGAUUUCCGACGGGUGUUGGACGUCCGGCGCUCGGUCGUCCGGAGGGAGCCGGAUUUCCGAGAUAUAGAACUCAACUUCUACUGGNNNNNNNNNNGAAGUCCGUGUUAUACAGCUCAACUUCUACUGGUGGUAGGUUCUGGAUUUCCGACGGUUGUCGGACGUUCGGCGCUCGGUCGUCUGGAGGGAGCCGGAUUUCCGAGAUAUAGAACUCAACUUCUACUGGUGCANNNNNNNNNNGCCUCGGACGUCCGGAGGUAGCCGGAAGUCCGAGUUAUAUGGCUCUGAUUUCUGUGGUAUAGGAUUCCGGAUUUCCAAACGAGUCAGUUGUCCGGUCCUCGGACGUCCGGAGAAAGCCGGAUGUCUGAGGCACUGGUNNNNNNNNNNNNNNNUCGAACUAGUCAGUCGUCCGGUCCUCGGACGUCCGGAGAAAGCCGGAUGUCUGAGGCACUGGUUCUGUUUUCGGAUAACAACAAAACAGUGGAGAUGUGGUUUGAGCAGAAAGUGAUGAUGUAGUUUGAGCAAGUUCAUCGCAAAACCUGUGAUCCCCUCUUAAUAGUGCGGGAUCCCUAAGGACUCAAGAAUCAUAAAAGAGUACUGAUGAUCCAUGCUUGAGUGUAUACUUUUAUUCGCUGAUCAUCACUCCGCACAACUAACGUCAAAGGAACUGAUACCUUUGAGUUAGCCCUUUCACUUGAGCUUGAUGUUGUUGUUCCUUCUUGGCUCAAGUUGAAAGCAAGACAUGAUGAAGUCUUCAAGUAGCUUUCCCAUACACAAUGCGGAAAGCCUAGCNNNNNNNNNNNNNNNNNNNNNNNNNNNNNNNNNNNNNNNNNNNNNNNNNNNNNNNNNNNNNNNNNNNNNNNNNNNNNNNNNNNNNNNNNNNNNNNNNNNNCAUACAUACAUUGCAUAUUGCUUGUGCUCAUUAUAUUGUGUUGGCUAUUUCUUGUACAAGAUUAAUCAUUCAAGCAUACCCUCUAUAUCCACACGUACAUACUAUCAACCCUUGAUAUAUCGUUUGAUAUAGUGUGAUCUAAUAUCUUGUGUUAUUUACCUACUUGUCGUGUGAUAUAGCUCAAGUAAGUUUGUGUAACUUACUUNNNNNNNNNNUCAUACUUGCAGCCCUUGAUAUAUCGUGUGAUAUAGUGUGAUCUAGUAUCUUGUGUUGUUCACCUACUUGUCGUGUGAUAUAGCUCAAGUAAGUUUGUGUAACUUACUUGUGCUUGUUAGUAACUGCAUUGUGUCCAUCUUGGUAGAUCGUGUUGUUGAUACACGUUGCAGUGCCUAGUGCAUUUAGGAUUUGUGCUUGACAAGUACCCUCUUAGUUUAUUUUCGCAUUAGGUUCAAGCCAAAUCUGAAGAAGUUUUUAAAUAGCCUAUUCACCCCCCCUCUAGGCAUCAUCGAGGUCUUUUCAAUUGGUAUCAGAGCUAGGUCUCUCUUUAAUUAGGUUUCACGACCUUGAGAGUAUCGAUGUCGACUAUUGNNNNNNNNNNCGAAUAAGUUUUUAAAUAGCCUAUUCACCCCCCUCUAGGCGUCAUCGAGGUCUUUUCAAUUGGUAUCAUAGCUAGGUCUCUCUUUAAUUAGGUUUAUCGACCUAGAGAGUAUCGAUGUCGACUAUUGGAUUAGUGCACAAUGGCAUCUUUGACUUUGAUGGCACAAAUUAUACCCUAUGGAGAAUUCGUAUGCUUCAUCACUUUCGGGCCAUGGGCCCAAAUACUUUACGAAUUGUUCUUGUAGGGAUUGCCGACAAAAAGGAUGAUGCAUCUUCAUCUACUAAUGAAAUGUAUCUUGAUUGUGAGGCCUUUCUUGCCAUUCAUCGAACCAUACGUCGUGAAGUGUUCAAGUCUAUCUCGACUUGCAAGUCAGCUCAUGAAGUUUGGACUAAACUUNNNNNNNNNNAUUCUUGAAGGGAUUGCCGACAAAAAGGAUGAUGCAUCUUCAUCUACUAAUGAAAUGUAUCUUGAUUGCGAGGCUUUUCUUGCCAUUCAUCGAACCAUAAGUCCUGAAGUGUUUAAGUCUAUCUCGACUUGCAAGUCAGCUCAUGAAGUUUGGACUAAACUUNNNNNNNNNNNNNNNNNNNNNNNNNNNNNNNNNNNNNNNNNNNNNNNNNNNNNNNNNNNNNNNNNNNNNNNNNNNNNNNNNNNNNNNNNNNNNNNNNNNNGCACCAUCUCAUCUCCAAACCCUAGUUCAUCUCUUGUAACCAAUCUCCAUCUUGCGACUCCGAUUGGUACUUGUAAGGUUGCUAGUAGUGUUGAUUACUCUNNNNNNNNNNNNNNNNNNNNNNNNNNNNNNNNNNCUACUCAUUACACCUCUGAUCAUGAUUAUGAUUAUGCUUUGUGAGUAGUUACUUUUGUUCCUGGGGACAUGGGAUAAGUCAUGCUAAUAAUAGUCAUGUGAAUUUGGUAUUCGUUCGGUAUUUUGAUAUGUUGUAUGUUGUUUUUCCUCUAGUGGUGUUAUGUGAACGUCGACUACAUAACACUUCACCAUUAUUUGGGCCUAGAGGAAGGCAUUGGUAAGUAGUAAAUAGAUGAUGGGUUGCUAGAGUGACAGGAGCUUAAACCCUAGUUUAUGUGUUGCUUCGUAAGGGCCUGAUUUGGAUCCACUAGUUUAAUGCUAUGGUUAGACUUUGUCUUAAUUCUUCUUUCGUUGUUGCGGAUGCUUGCGAGAGGGGUUAAUCAUAAGUGGGAUGCUUGUCCAAGUAAGGGCAGUAUCCAAGCGCCGGUCCACCCACAUAUCAAACUAUCAAAGUAACGAACGUGAAUCAUAUGAACAUGAUGAAACUAGCAUGACAGAAAUCCCUGUGUGUCCUCAGGAGCGUUUUUCCUCCUGUAAGACUUUGUACAGGCUUGUCCCUUGCUACAAAAGGGAUUGGGGCACNNNNNNNNNNNNNNNNNNNNNNNNNNNNNNNNNNNNNNNNNNNNNNNNNNNNNNNNNNNNNNNNNNNNNNNNNNNNNNNNNNNNNNNNNNNNNNNNNNNNUUCACUUUGUGUUCAGACCACAUCUCCACUGCUCUGUUGUUAUCUAAAAACAAAACCAGUGCCUCGGACAUCCGGCCUCCUCCGGACGUCCGAGGACCGGANNNNNNNNNNAGACUUCCGGCUACCUCCGGGCGUCCGAGGCCCGGAUGUCCCGCCAAGUCCCGGAAAUCCGGAAGCCUGCACCAGUAGAAGUUGAGCUCUAUAUCUCGGAAAUCCGUCUCCCUCCGGACGUCCGAGCGCCGGACGUCCGACACCCGUCGGAAAUCCGGAACCUACCACCAGUAGAAAUUGUGUUGUAUAACACGGACUUCCGGGCCACUCCGGACGUCCGUAUGUUGAUGAAUUCAAAUAUGUUCACGCACAUCUACAGGCCUCGGACGACCGACCCCUGUCGGACGUCCGGCCGNNNNNNNNNNAUCCGACACCCGUCGGAAAUCCGGAACCUACCACCAGUAGAAAUUGUGCUGUAUAACACGGACUUCCAGGCCACUCCGGACGUCCGUAUGCUGAUGAAUUCAAAUAUGUUCACGCACAUCUACAUGCCUCGGACGACCGACCCCUGUCGGACGUCCGGCCGCUGAUGAAUUCAGAAGAGUUCCAGUCAUGCCUACAGGUCUCAGACGUCCGACCUCUGUCGGACGUCCGGUCCCUCGCGGACGCCCGGACUUCCGACAACUGUCGGACGUCCGGACCCUNNNNNNNNNNNNNNNNNNNNNNNNNNNNNNNNNNNNNNNNNNNNNNNNNNNNNNNNNNNNNNNNNNNNNNNNNNNNNNNNNNNNNNNNNNNNNNNNNNNNNNNNNNNNNNNNNNNNNNNNNNNNNNNNNNNNNUACCCCCUCCCACUUCGUGAGAGGGUUUCCCAACACAGCCUUAUCCUCAUAAGAACACACUUCCACCUCACACACAUUUGCUCACUCCAAAUCUUAGAUCCCAAGAGCAUUUGUGAGCCCCUUUGAGAGUUGUUCCAAUCGAUAGAUCUUCUCCCUCUCCUUCUCUCAACCCAAACUAUUUGUGAUUUGAUCAAGUUUUGAGCAUUCCCCGUGAUCUUAUUACUCUUGGAGGUUGGAGANNNNNNNNNNNNNNNNNNNNNNNNNNNNNNNNNNNNNNNNNNNNNNNNNNNNNNNNNNNNNNNNNNNNNNNNNNNNNNNNNNNNNNNNNNNNNNNNNNNNAGAUGUACCGAGAGGGAUAAGUGAUCCCAUGGUAUGGUAAGCAUUGUCAAUUACGUGUUUGUGUACUAACCCAUGGUCUUUGUGAGACUCCUAUGUGGGGGUUAGGUGUGUUUCCAUUNNNNNNNNNNGCGUAUAAGAUGUACCGAGAGGGAUAAGUGAUCCCAUGGUAUGGUAAGCAUUGUCCAUUACGUGUUUGUGUACUAAUCCAUGGUCUUUGUGAGACUCCUAUGUGGGGGUUAGGUGUGUUUCCAUUGGGCUUGCGUCAAAAGGAAAAUCUCAUACAACCCAUGAAGGAUGACGUCAAGUGGUGAUCGUCAUCAAGAUUGUGGUGUGCAAGUUCAAGUGGAUCAGCAUGAAUAUAUCAUUGAAACUAUUGUCAAUGAUCAUGUGCUAACAAGGGCAAGAUCAAGAUAAGCAUUCCUGAGCACUACAUGCUUGAUUCUUGUGGNNNNNNNNNNUACGAAUAUAUCACUGAAACUAUUGUCAAUGAUCAUGUGCUAACAAGGACAAGAUCAAGAUAAGCAUUUCUGAGCACUACAUGCUUGAUUCUUGUGGAUGUUCACAUGGUGGAUAGGACAAGAUCAAGAUAAGCAUUCUUGAGCACUACAUGCUUGAUUCUUGUGGAUGUUCACACAUGGUGGACAAAUGAAGAUAAAUACAUAAGCUAGGCUUUCCGCAUUGUGUAUGGGAAAGCUACUUGAANNNNNNNNNNUUUGUGGAUGUUCACACAUGGUGGACAAAUGAAGAUAAAUACAUAGGCUAGGCUUUCCGCAUUGUGUAUGGGAAAGCUACUUGAAGACUUCAUCNNNNNNNNNNNNNNNNNNNNNNNNNNNNNNNNNNNNNNNNNNNNNNNNNNNNNNNNNNNNNNNNNNNNNNNNNNNNNNNNNNNNNNNNNNNNNNNNNNNNCUAAAUAUAAGUCUUUUUAAAAAUUUCACUGAUAAACUACAUACAAAGCAAAAUGAAUGAAUAUAUACUUUAAAAUAUGUCUAUAUACAUCCGCAUGUAGUCUUUUGAUAAAACAUCUAAAAAAGACUGAUAUUUAGGAACCGAGGGAGCACAUAAAUUGCCGAGGCAUGUUGGCACCUACGGCAAAAGGACCGUAUAGAUAGGCGCAUAGGCUCCUGUCCAUCGGAUCUCAAAAUUUUUAAAAUAAAUAAACCGAAGUUUCACAAAAAGGAAAAUCAAAGUGUGAUCCUAUAAUUUGUUAUCAAGAUUUUUUUUGAUGCAACAAAUGGAAGACGUUUUAGGUCAGUUAAGUAGAUCCAUCGUGUAUCUGAACAAUACUCCCAACUUAUACUCCCUUCGUCUUAAAAUUCUUAUUUUAAAUUUGUCUAAAAAUGAAUGUAUCUAAAUACUAAAACAUGAUUAAAUACAUUCAUAUCUAGACAAAUCUAAAACAACUUUUUGAAACGAAUGAAGUAUAAGUUAUUUUUUUAAGUCAUUACUCCUAGAGGUUGUAGUAAGUACAACGCAUAUUAUCGAUGUUCCAAAUUACUUGUCUUGGGUUUGUCUAGAUACAUCUACGGAUGUAUCUAACAUUAACAUAUGUCUAAAUACAUCCAUAUGUGAACAAAUAUAAGACAAGUAAUUUGUGACUAAGGGAGUAUAUUAUAGAUCCACAUGUUUUAAACUGCCAAAACAGUUUAUAUUUUAAAAAGGCUGCGGAAGUGAUCCGAGCACAUUUAGUAAUAUUCGCCCUUAUCAUUCCUAUACAACAGAUCAAACAUUGAGCUGGCCUUGCAUUACCAAUGGCACAUACACCAAGGCAGUUAUAUAGCNNNNNNNNNNNNNNCAUAAGCUUUAGAGAUAUUGUACAGUACAUAAUAUUAAAGCAUCGGCAGACAUAAUGUAUAUAAACACGCUCACUCGAGUACCACACGACAAGAGUUUCACAUGGUUCAUCAAGUAGGAAAGGAGCAAUUAGUAAAUAUAACAACAUAGUAUCGGAAUAGAUCCAUUGUCACCGAACGAAUUUAUUCUUAAGACCGGACCACAAAUCAACAAACUUCUCAGAACAUCACCAUUACACCUGAUCUUCAUUCCUCAUCCGUGCGCACAGCUGCAACAUGAACAACCAAGUCAGUGUUCAAGAGAACAAUACAGCAUGAAGUAAAACCAAAGCAAGAAAGAGCCUCAUCUGAAUGCCCACCAGGAAGAAAGACAUUAAAUAUGCAAGUGCACAAAUCAUCACAGAAGCUGGGUAAGCAAAUUAUUCAGAACAGCGUAGAUGUUGGAUUCAACACUUCAUGCAAAUCACGCAAGAGAACAACCAUCACAGUCACUUAAGCAUUCCAAAACCCAACUACAUGUACUUCUGCAGUUCCUGACAGCGCCCCCGAGUUGCAAUUACAAUAUCGAUACUUAUAUGAAGCACAAAAUCAAUAUCGCUACAGAUCCCUACGAACCUAAUUCCGUUUCAAAGAAAAACUACAAACCUAAUUGCACCUAUCCAGCUGUUUUACUCAGUGUUCACAUGCAAUCAUGCAUGCGGCUGAAUAAACUCCCUCUGCUUUGGUACCAGCUCUGAGCAUACAAAUAGGGUAUGACAAAUCUUAAGAGGCAUUUUCAGAACUAUGUGGCAUGAAUGACGCUAAAAGUGAUAAACUACAUGUGCUAAUUAUU